CUGUCCGCAAAUAUUGGUGAUAGAACAGAAUGAAAGCCAAUGUUGUUUUUGUCUCUAAGCACACAUGCUCCCAUGCGCAUCACCGUUGGAUAUACACACAGAGUGCAUACUCUCUUCUGCUACAAAUACGUCCCACGUGCAUCCACCAUGGUCAUGGCCUUAGGAGAAAUUUGUCCGCAUCUAGGGAGGAAUUGUACAUUGAUUUACCAUGUGCAAUACAGUUUCCGGUCUCAAUAAGAUCAAUACUAGUUUGUUGUUACAGGCAGCAGGCUGGCCAUGCAUGAAUCAUGACCGAUGCAACGCUUCAGGUUCCUUUACAACACGCAUGCAUCUAGCUUUCCACAGCAAACAACUGGCGGCGGCGGCGGCAGCAGCAGGUAUGCUGAUGCACCACGUUCUAGUGGAACUUGAGGCUGGUGAGCACGUUGUUGUUGACGGGGUCGGCGAGGUGGUCGAGCAGGUUCUGGAACGGGCCGACGCCGGUGACGAGCCCCUGGAUGAAGUAACCGAGGAUGGCGAGCAUGGCGAGCCUGCCGUUCUUGAUCUCCUUGAGCUUGAGCUCAUUCAUCUCCUUCUCGGUCUUGCCGAAGCCGAGCGGGUUGAAGAGGGGCCCGCCGGGGUAGGACGGGUCGCCGGAGCCGGCGAGGAACUUCUCGAGGCCGAGGAAGUACUGCUUGCCCAUGGAGCCCGGGUUGUACCAGUCCUGGAGGCGGCGGUGCUCGGCGAAGCCCAUGAGCGCCAUGUUGAAGACGAAGAGCGUGUAGGAGUCGGCCCAGUAGUUGUAGGUGCCCGCGGGCGGGAUGACGCCCGUCUUGAACCACGGCAGCGCGGUCUCCGGGGGGAUGAUGCCCAUCUUGCCGAAGAUCUCCGGGGCGAUGGCGCCCACCGCGCCCAGCAUGGCGUAGCGGCCGUUGAUCACCUCGCCAUAGGCCAGCCACUUGGGCUCGAUGAAGCCCCCGGUGCCCUCCGGGUCCGAGAGGCCCAGCGGGUCGAAGCCAUAGUCGCCGGGCAGCCUGCAUGCAUGCAUGCAGCAGCAACAAUGAGGCAGGUGAGCAUAGGGUUUCUAUCGUCGCUAGCAGAAGGUUUGCUGCGCGCGGGGCGGGCAACGAGCGCAGGUACGUACGUGCCAUCGAGGUAGGAGAGGGACUGCUUGGACGCGAACCACAGCUGCCUGUCGGCACCUUGCUGCGAAACGAAAACAAUCGAGUCAGCACUCAGCAGUACGUAGUCCUCUCAAGAACGAACGAGCUUGCCAUCGUUGAGAUUGACGACGGACGGAUUACUAGCUAUAGUAGGGUACGGCGCACAGACCUUGGCUGGAGGGCUGGAGCUGGCCCUGACGACGAAGGGCGCCUUCCUCGCCGACGACCUAGAGACGGCCGACUGCACGGGGCGGCCCAGCAGCUGCCGGCCGGAGAGGAGAGCCUGGGCCGCCAUCGAUCAGGCACUGGUGCUUCUUCUAACUUGAGCUUCCGACAACGUACGUGCUUGCGCUCGCGAUCGUGUCGAUGGCUCGCUGCUCUAUCCGCAGUUUGGGAGGAGAGGGGCGCAGAAGAAGAGGCGCGGAAAGUAUGUGACUGUGCCACGAGAGGGGUGCGGGGCCCAGGGAAAUCUAAACCGCGCCGGGGAGAUGAGGCCGCAUCCGCGGGGCCACUGGCGCCGCGCCAUCUGGCGGGUACGAUGGGAUAAGGGGCGCCAUUCGCCGAGGCAUGUGGCUCGCAGGCCUUGGCAGCAGCUGGCCGCAGGAAUGCACGCAAGGCUCGACGCUUGGCCAAGAUUUUUCCUCCCAAGGAACGCCACGCCCACGCGUAUCGUAUGGUAGGCUGGUGAUGGAUGUUGGAUAAUUUGGCCCAUUUGGAUGAGGUCGCUUUAGGCUCAAACGAAACCUACAGGGAAAAGCCUACUAAAAACCAUCUAAAUAACACUGGGAUAGUUUUGAAGAUGAUUUAUCAUAUUGCGUGUCGGUGAGUAGGGAUGAAAAAUAGAUAUCUGAAUUGUUUGAACAAAUUUAAUAUUUUAAAAUAGAUAUGCAAGAAAUUUGAUGUUGCUCUUAUUAUGUUAUCAAACAUAUUAUUACAAAUAAGAAUAAAAUUCUGCAUAGAAUGUUUUAUGCAUUAUUUGCUCUCUACAAUAAAAAAAUGAAUAAAUAUCUGAAUUUGUAUCCUGAUUAUCAUUUGAGAAAUUAUUUGAUGCGUACAUUUAAGGUUUACCUUUUAUGAACCUUUACAAGCUCGAUGCUAAAAACAAGAAUAUAAAUAUGUAUAGCAGAUUCUACAUCUUAUUUAUUCGAUCAAAAACCUGAUAUCCAAAUAAGUAUCUGUUUUCGACUGUUUUCAUCCCUACCGGUGAGUUAUCGAAUAUAUAAUAAAAAAAAAGUCUAUGCAUUGCUCUAACAUAUUCAGCGUUGACUAUAUAAUCUCCUUGAUAAUAAAACCAUGAUAUUAUAGUCAUUUUGUUAGACUAUCCCUAGCAGCUUACUCAUCUUCAUCUCUUAUUUCAAACUCUACUAGUCAUAUGCUCGUGCAUUGCUACAGUUUUUAUAUAUGACAUAGGAUAAAUUUUGUUUUAUUAAAGCAUAAAAAUAUGUGUUUUCUAUUGAUUAGGUGGGUGUGAAUGUGGAGCUAACAACCAAGGUUUAAAUACCCACUUAUACAUAAUUUCACCUUAUUUUUUACAUAAAGUGCAAAUAUAAGGCUUCCCAAAAGGAGGUCUUGCACCCUUGUAUCAUUUGCCCUUUCAGUAAGAGAUAACAAACAUUGAAUGGUUUCAAUGAUAUUUUUGUUGUCUCCCUGAAGGAUAUUAUGAAGAAUCACCUCAAAUAAUUGUUGGGGUUUUGGUGGUUGCAAUAUAUUUCUAUUAAAUAAAACAAAUCUUUCCAAACUGAUCUGAGCAUGCCAAGGCAAAUGAAGCAACACUACAUGCCCCCAUGUACCCUUGAAGUGGAGCACCAAGUUCACUGAAUGUUUUUAGCGUGGUAAUUGUGUGGUGCUGUGAGAUCUCAGAACCAUUGCCUAGAAGCACAAGAAGUUUCUUGUCAAUUCCUGAUUCAAUCAUAGUCUCAACAGUCUUCAACUUUCCAACCUUUAUCAGAGAUGCAAGUCUUGCGAACACAUUUUCAUACAUUGCUCAUUUUCUGUAAACAAGAGAUCUGCAAUUUGAUCCAUGGGAAUUCUUGCCAAAUUUCAUCAGCAAUUGCGCCAUCAACAUGCUCAGAUAUCUUGGCCAGAACAGAAGAGAAGUUGGAUAAAGUUGAAGUAUCUUCACAGGCACCAAGAAGAUCAAUUAAUCUAUCUAUGAAACCUACUAUUUCAAGAGAGCAAGUAAGAUUUAUGUAGUCUGCUGGAACAAAUAUAACUGCAAUCGCGGUAGUGACUGUAAAAAUAAGAUCUGGUGAUCCUAUGGAAAUUAUCUCUGCUAUUCAAGGGACAAGUAUUUUAGUGAACACAAUUUUGCUUGCCUCAAAUUCAGAUAGGGAUAUGCAUGCCAUGAGAGCUUGACUUGUGUUUGCCAAUUAAAUGUCAAUGUCCGUGAAUUCUAGCAGAGAAAAGAAUUAUCCCAUCUUUCGUUCAGCUGGUCUUUUCAUACACUCUUUGCCAAAAAAUUCCAAGGAGCUACAAAUGUUGCAUAGUAUGAAAUCGAAUUAGAUAAAAAAGCACAAGUAACAUCAUUUGUUUUGUUCUCAUGGUACAUCUACAUCUUUUUCACUGACGUAUGAAACUGGACCAAGUGCACAAGUUGCAUAAGUUGGGAGGUUGGAUAUGGUUUUCUCCCAUUUUUUUCAUUAUGGUUUUCUUCGUCAGAGCUUGCCCAUGGUAGCAACUAUAAGGGGAUAGAGCUCACAACGAUCCAGCAAGACUUCUAUGUCGGGCUGUGAAGUAUAGAGAAGUUAAACACCCAAAAACCAUGGUGUUUGGAAUUUUUAGUUAUUCUAUUUUUCAUGAUGUAUCUUCCUCUAACAUGCCUUAAUUUGCAAAUUUGGCAUAACUACUGAUUGAAAAAUUAUGUUUGUAAAAAAAAUAAUAAGCAUAUUUGUGAAGCUAAACAUGAUGUUACUUAAGAAAAUAUGUUGUAAACAUAAUAAGAUUAAUAUUGAAAUGGAAACAUAUGUAAAUUAGAAUCAUCCAACAAAGGUAAGAGAUGUCCAUGCUUUGAGAACCUUUUUCAGAUUACGACCGAAGAAGUAGCCCUCCAAGACUCAGCGAAGGUUGCCGCAAUUCCACAAAUACAUAGCAUGCAACCUCUUGGUCAUCGUCGCCGUCAUAAACACAGACAUCUCAAUUCCCCGCUCCAUCAAUUUAGAAAUGAGCAAGCAAGUAGCCGAUCGCUCACCCCCAUACGCACCAAUCUGACUCCCAAGCUCCGUUUGCAUCAGUACCGCCAGCACUCCACCUGCAGCUACCAAUCGAGACCUUCUCGGCCUAAGCAGAUCGAUUGAUCUUUAGAGUAGAGAGUUGGUGGUACAGGUACCUUAACUACCUUGGAACGAUGGGGCGCGAUGUAGAGAAGAUAGCGCCUCCCUAUGUGGAACGACACCCGCAACACGCCGCUCAACUACAGCCUCCUUGUCACCGGUGCCACGGCGAGGGGGCCCGUGGCCGCAGCCACCGACCAGCAUGUCUCUAUGUCCUCGUCUGACCUCGACGUGUCAUGGUGAGCAGUCGGACGCCGGCACCAGACUGACGACAUGGGUCUCUAAAGAGCCCGCCACCUCGGGAGAUCUGAGCCCUACUGGUGGUGGUAACCAUUUUCGUUGCGCUAACGCGGAGAGCCAGAGGCCAGAAAUUUAUAGCGAUGUCAGUCGUGGUAGGCACGCUAUCGGAGGUUGCAGCGUGGCAGGUCAUUCGACGUGGAGUUCACGUGGCCUAUCCUCGCAUCACUCGGCACAGAGUUUGUGGGGUGUUAUCCUCAUGACGCGAUCCGAGGUUGCGAUAGCGGCAGAGGAAGGUGUGUGGCAUGCGGAGGCGGUUUCUGCAUGUGGCGUGCAGGAGUUCGUUUCAUAGAUGCGAGGAAGCACGAUGACAUACGACGGUCACUGGAGGGGGACAACGCACAAAGAUCAAGACGCACGAAACUCUAGUAAAGAAGAGAUUAUAGGAGUGUGAGUUGCUUUUAAAGAAAUGUAGGUUUUUUUUGAAAAAUAUUGACGCAUGACGACCGUUGAAACUGGUGCUUUAAUAUAGUAGAGAUAGAGACUCUUCAAACAGUGCAUUCUAUAGUAUAAAAUAGUAUUUUGCACGAUCAUAUGCACCAUCUAUUGGCCAUAGCCUUAGACCGUUUUGACAAUAUAUUACACCAUAAUAGUCUUAGCCUCCAUUUUUGCAUGCAAGCUCAUCUAUUGCUUCUCUCUCAUUACUCAUUCUAGACUGUCUAAGGGCUUGACAAGCAACACAUGACCGCUUACCUCCUACACCUCAUGACACGGACACGGGACAAAAAUUCAUGGAGGAUCAAGAAGAUUGUAUGAUAAAAUCAAGUAAGAUCAUAAAACUAGUGUUGCAUAAAAUUUAAAACUUUAUAUCAAUAUACGACGUAGGAUCACAGAAGAAAACUAUAUAAACAAAAGAAACAAACAUAUUGCUAAGUUUUUGCUGAUCGAGGCGAUUGCAUCCUUCUAGUUUUGAGACGUUGAAAUGUCGAAUAGUAAUCUCAUCAUUAAUAGAUUUGAAAAGCUCAUCAUCAAUCACCGAAUAAUGAGAUCAUCAUCGAUUUUUCUUCUUAAUGUUGGAUAUGAAAUUAUUUCAUCUAGAUUAAAUGCCCUUCCGACACUUGACAGAUCUAGAAUUCUUGUUUGUGCAACAGUUGUGUUGUUCACGUAAAUAUUGUCCUAACCACUGGUCGUGAAACCCCAUAAAAUGGUUGAAAAUAUCUUUAUAUAAACAAAGAGAAGCAAUAAUCAUCAACUACUUAUCUAAUCUCUAAUUCAUCGUCAAGUGAAUAUUCCAAUCCAAUCCAAGUAUUCAAUCACGUGCUCGAACAGUCGAUCGAAUAAAAACAAAAUCCACCAAAUUGAAGUUGUCUAUACCUUGUCGAAUGUCGAUCUCCUCUAAGGGUCGGGGCAGGAUCGGGCGGUUUCGCUGGAUGAGAGCCAACACUCUCUAGUUCGCCAAGCUUGUCGAUCACCGAGGACUGAUCGUGUUGUAUUGACGAGAGAGAUUGGGCCUAUCGGGUGGGCCAGUGUCACGACGAUGAUGAGCGGGGUAGGGCGCUAGAAAGGGAGUGGGGUCAAACAACGUCACAUGUCAGGAAGGGGUGGCAUCGAACGGCGUGGCAAACAGGGUGUCGAGGCAGACUGCCUCGAGCGGCAUUGGGAAUAAUGGAGCUGGACAUAUAGAUGUGAGGAUUGGACCAAGGAGGGGAUGAGAGUCGAGAGGACUCAGCUGAUCUAACGAGGAGGCUCAGGACGGGAUUGUUUUGGCCCACCUAAAACUUUAGUUUUUUCUAUGCUUAACAUUAGGUAUAAGAGGUUUUAAAAAAUUUAGAACAUGGCCUACUUUGCCCCCUAGUGCAUCCGCCCCUGGUGGGAGAGAGAGAUGAAGGAGACAAAUGUUACACACUUCUCAUUCUAUGGUGAGGCAAGGCUACAAAAAGCAUAAAGAAAGAGGGAACAAAUUGGCUCUCGUGUAUAGCCAGGCUAGUAUGGAAAAUAUGAAUCAAAAUUGUCAUAUAAAACCAUCUAGGGGUAUCAUUAUAGAUCUUAAGUGGUAUAAUUUUAUUUAUUACAGUUGAGAGUGUUAUAGAGUCAAUCUUUGAUAUAUUAGAGGGUUAUGGUAGAUUUUGUAGUAUACUUCCAUGGCUUACGGUCAUGUUAGCACACAUGAAAUAUGCUUCAUAAGAAAACAUGCCUUCAAAUCCACCUGAUUAUUUAGAAAAUUUUAAAUAUUUUAAGAAUAUGAAUAUCUAGUUUUAUAUGUGAGGAUUAAAGUAUAUAAGUGCCAAUAGUACGGGUGGUUAUAUAAUCAAGCAUAUAUAUAGGUUAUAAUCACAAAAAUCAACUUGUGAGUUAAAGAAAGCCUACAUAACUAUAACAUCAACACAAUGCUAGGGUUUGGUCUAUGGACUGUGUCCCGGUGAUAAGAGAGAGACUAGGAUGAAAAUGAACCAUAGAAGCAUUCAAAAGAAUGGAACCAGAAAAAUUGAAGCAAGGUCUUCCAUUCUUGCUCUUCGUUCGCAAAAGCAAAUCUUCUCACAUCUUAUUGAUCAUCAACAACAACCAUGGGAACCUACUGGUGAGAGCAUCCUCGCCUUCUCAUGCUUGGUCACUAAGGGGAAUGGGGUGUGAUAGUUGGUAUUCAUCGGCAUUGAUCUAGGUAUAUUUGCUUGUGUUCAGUUCAUCGCUUUUGAUCCUAACCCUUCCCUCGAUAUCGAGUUUGUUCAGUUGGUUGUGUUUUUGUUAUAUCAAAGAACUUGAUUUGAUAAAAAAAUUACCAUGACGUAAAACACCCCAAGGAAUUCAAGGAUGGGCACAGUUUCCAUGGAUUUUUGCACCAUGUACCUCGAGAUAGCAAAGAGGUGGGUUCAAGGCAGAUGCAGCAUUCGCGGACCCGUAUCCGAAACCCGCCACCAAAACUCACCUUGUCCCCAAACCCUGAUGUGGGUUAAAAACUGAAAGUCACCUAGAGGGGGGUGAAUAGGUGGAAACUGAAAUUUACAAACUUUAAGCACAACUACAAGCUGGGGUUAGCGUUAGAAAUAAAAUCAAGUCCAAAAGAGAGGGGAAAACAAAUCAACCAGAGAAAUAUAGCAGAUGACACGGUGAUUUGUUUUACCGAGGUUCGGUUCUUGAAAACCUACUCUCCGUUGAGGUGGUCACAAAGACCAGGUCUCUUUCAACCCUUUCCCUCUCUCAAACGGUCACUUAGACCGAGUGAGCUUUCUCCUUAACCAAACGGGUCACUUAGACCCCUACAAGGACCACCACAACUUGGUGUCUCUUGCUUUGAUUACAAGUGUCUUGAGAACAAGAAUGGGGAAGAAGAAAGCACGAUUGCAAAAGCCAAGCGACAAGAGCGACAAAUAACACAUGGAUCACUUUCUCUCUCAAGUCUCUAAUCACUAAUGAUCACUUGUCUCAAUUGUGGAACUUGGAGAGAUUGGAAGCUUUGAUUGUGUCUUUGAAUGGAUUGCUAGCUCUUGUAUUGAAUGUGAAAGAUUGGAGUGCUUGGGUGAAGUGAAGUGAGGUGGUUGGGGUUGUAUUUAUAGCCCCCAACCACUUCCUAGCCGUUGCUCCUUUUCUGCCGACCGCGGACGGUCCGUGCCCCUGGUCCGGACGGUUCGCCCCUGCACAUCAACGGCUGAAAUCGCAACGGUCAGCAGUAACAGCUAUAUCAAUGGCUAUAUAGCAUUUAAUGCAUCGUUAGAUGUCAGAUAAAGGCAGUCGCGGACGGUCCGGUCGUGCACCCCGGAUGGUCCGCGAGGACGCUAUAAUUCAUUUUACCGAACCCGUCACCUUCGGGUUUUUUCGGUUCUGCGCCGACCGGACGGUCCGCGCCUGAGGCCGGACGGUCCGCGCUUGGUCUCAGACGGUGCUUGCUUUUCCAUCGGACGGUCCAUAGUGUAGACUUGUGUUUUUGCAUUGGUUCUGUCCGAGGGUCAUUGAAAGUCGCCUAGAGGGGGGGUGAAUAGGGUGAAUCUGAAAUUUACAAACUUAAUCACAACUAAAAGCCGGGUUAGCGUUAGAAAUAGAAACGAGUCCGAGAGAGGGCGCAAAACAAAUCGCAAGCUAAUAAAGAGUGUGACACAAAGAUUUGUUUUACCGAGGUUCGGUUCUCUCAAACCUACUCCCCGUUGAGGUGGUCACAAAGACCGGGUAUCUUUCAACCCUUUCCCUCUCUCAAACGGUCCCUCGGACCGAGUGAGAUUCUUCUUCUCAAUCAAACGGGAACAAUUUUCCCCGCAAGGACCACCACACAAUUGGUGUCUCUUGCCUCGGUUAUAAUUGAGUUGUUUGCCAGAAAGAGUGAAAGAAAGAAGCAAUCCAAGCGCAAGAGCUCAAAAGAACACAACAAAUCUCUCUCACUAAUCACUAAUGCUUUGUGUGGAAUUGGGAGAGGAUUUGAUCACUUGGGUGUGUCUAGAAUUGAAUGCUAGAGCUCUUGUAAGUAGUUGGAAGGUGGAAAACUUGGAUGACUUGAAUGGGGGGUGGUUGGGGGUAUUUAUAACCCAACCACCAAACUAGCCGUUUGGUGGAGGCUGCUGUCGACGGGCGCACCGGACAGUCCGGUGCGCCACCGGACAGUGUCCGGUGCGCCAGCCACGUCACCUGGCCGUUGGGUUCCGACCGUUGGAGCUCUGUCUUGUGGGCCCGCCUGGCUGUCUGGUGGCGCACCGGACAAGUCCUAUAGACUGUCCGGUGUGCCACCCAUGCGUGCUCUGUCCUCUGCGCGCGCAGGCGCACAUUUAAUGCGUUGCAGUCGACCGUUGCGCGCGAAGUAGCCGUUGCUCCGCUGGCUCACCGGAUAGUCCGGUGUGCACCGGACAUGUCCGGUGAAUUAUAGCGGGGCGGAUUCCCGAAGCUGUCUAGUUCAGAGCCGCUCUUCCUUAGGGCACCGGACACUGUCCGGUGGUGCACCGGACAGUCCGGUGAAUUAUAGCGAAGCGCCUCUGAGAUUUCCUGUAACACCCACUUUGUAAGAAAAUCGAAAAGGAGAAAAUUAUAUCCCUUUGUAUACAUGAGUGUGUCAUCUCUAUCUAUUAUUUCAUGUGAACACAUUACUUACACAAAUAAACCAUUAACAAGAGACACCCAAAUAAAUGGUGCAUCAUGCUGGAGUUAUGUGAUUGUGCAUUUGUGGAUAAUAAAAAUAAAAGUGCCAAUAACAAUAUAUAAAUGGAUCCAUAGAAUUUAAACCCUAAUUUGAAAACAAAACCUUGAAAAAUUGGAGAAGAAGAAAGAAAGGUACAAAAAUUAUACAAAAUAAAUAUUAUAAAUAAAAGUAAUAUGGGUAUGUUCAAACUAUGUGUUAGUUGAGAAUAAUAAAACCACAACAGUUGGUGAAUUCAAAAUUUAAAGUUCAAAUCAAAAAGGCAAAAGAAAAGGAAGAAGAAAUAGAAAAGAAAAAGAAUGGAACAAACCUGUAACUAGGCCUAAUCUGCGAUGUCGGCCCACUUGUGCUCGUGGUCCGCUACCCAGACUGUGGCCGUACGCCUAUGGAAUUAAGCGCCGGCAGGUGGGGCCCUUUGGGCAGUGGCACUAGCGCUUCCACACUUUCUCUCCUUCACUGAUCCGCGGGGCUGCCUUGCCAGCCACCCCGGGGCACGCCGUGUUCUGGUGAAUCACUGCCUGGUUGGCCCGGUUGCACAGGGUUAUCUUCCCCACAUGAUUCGGCAGCCCGGCCGAAGUUCAUGGCGCCCGCGCAGAUCCGAACUUGCUGGCCGAUGUGGGCCUCGCCUACUGCGUCACCAGCAAGCACUCGCCAACUCCCCUCCUCCAGUCUGCGCGUACACUGGGGAAGCUAUAGCGCAACGAAACCCGCUUCCUGCGUGGCUUCAACGGCGGACUACCACGCGCAAGCUGCGCGCCAGCCGGAUCCCGGGGCCAUUCCGCCCGCCGGACCCGCGGCAACUAGCUCCGCUUCCUGCUCCGUAAUGGACGCUGCGAGUUCGCCAUUGGGACUAAGCCCAUGUAGGUCCGCACGCUUACCAUUGGUGCUCGUCGACCGAUCGGGUCUGCACGUGGAGAUCUCCGGUCAACAGAAGCCGCAGCCAUUGAACCACCUCCGCGGCAAUCGGGGGCAGUUGCAACCACCCCACCGCCUCGGCCUCCUACCCUCACCCCUAUAUAAUCGCGGGCUCCGGUAUCUGCUGCGAAUCGUGGUGCUCGGCGUGCCGCCGUGGGGAGUCGCCGCGAGGUACUGCCGCCAUUAUUCCCGAUCGGUGGUGUGCACACGGUCGCGGGACCCCGCUGGUGUCGCCAGAUCGCGUUGGAGUCGGUGCGUGGAGAGAAGAACGGUCUCGGUGGCCGUAUUCGCUCGCCGCCGCCGUGACUUCGCCCCACGCCGUGGAUCACUCCCUAGCCGCCAUCUCUACCUACGGUGAGCCCCUAGUAUGUUUCGCCAUCGUCUGAAUUGUGCGUAGGGGCCUUCGAAUGACGUUGUAGGGGCCCAGAUCGGCCGAAUCGCGUGGCUCCGGCGAGGAUCCGCUGUGACCUCGGGCGGUGCCGCCCCUGCUCGGGUGUUGACGCAGGGGGGGAAAUUGACGAGGUGCAUCUGGCCGUCUGUUCCGCUGUGAUCGCGUAGGAUUAGGUCUGGGUAGCGCUUUGCCCGCGACCAUUAGAUAUCGAUCGGACGGUGCGGGAUGGAUCAAGCUUCAUAAAAUCAGGGUCGUCGGUUUCCGAUCCUGUGGCUUCCCUUGCGUACCGGUUCGCAAGAUGGCCGAUCUAUUCUGAUCCGUGGAUGUAUGAUCCAACGGCCCAAAUCCCUCCUUACCCCUUCGGCCGUGACCUUUUUACUAAAGGGACCCCAAACUUUCGCAGAAUCAACCCGCAGUAUCCCUCGGAUGUGGCUGUGUUUGGGCGAUUUUGCAAGUUAAACCCCGAGCUCCCUGGUUAUUGUGUGCGCAGUCCAGAGCUCAGAGAAAAUAGGAAAAAUGAAUUUAGAAAAUGAAUUUUCAAUGUAAAAAGAAUUCUAGAACCUAUUUAAUGCAUAGAAAAUUCAUUUUAGCUCCUUUUUAAUCCAUUCCAGCUCCCAUAAUUUUGUAUUAAUAUUGUCUAUUACUUGGUAACACUAUUUUAACAUGAAACCCAUACUAGAAUUAAUUACUCAAUUAAUUUCGUAGCAAACACAUAAAACCUUCAGAAAUUCAUAACUCAUCCGUUAUAAUUCCGAUUUGAUCCGUUCAAGUUGUGUUAGUCUCGUAUAAAUAUUUACUAUGCAAUAACAAUAUUUAUUAUACCAUGCCUCAUUAUUUUAUAAUUAGAUUUCUAUUUAACUUAGGUUGGUUAGUUUCGUUAAUGUAUUCAUCAUUACUUGCUAAACUGUGAUAUAUGAUUAAUUUAUAACUUAGAUUAAAGUUGAGAUAAUUAUUUAUAGAAUAACCACUCAUAUGAUUUACACUAACCAAUUUAUAAUAUGGUUUAAUAUUUAAAUCACGUAGAACUUCUUAAUCGUAACUCCGAUCUUAGUAGUUCUCAAUCCCACGAGCUCGUAGCGACGCGUAGAUCAUUAUUAUUCAGUUGUACUUAUGUUUGGUGUGAUGUUAAUUUUGUAUAUACCAUGUUUGUUUGUAUUGCUACGACUAGCAGUGAGGUCACGAGAAUCUGAAGAAUCAUCCUGGUACCUGGAAUCUCAAGUCUCAGGCAAGUUGUGCCCUUGAUCACUUCUUUUUACCCACUCAUGUUCUAAUUAAUCAUAAUGAUCUGCAUAGGUUAAUUUUGAUGGGACCCAAUAGGUUACCCUAGUUUGUCUAUCUUUAUACCUUGUUUACCACUUAACUUUUUGGGUAGUACUUGCUAGUGCUUUAUGUGGUUUUUGGGUAUGAAGAUACAUUAUUCAUAAUUACACUUUUGCUAUCAGUUGUUAUUUACUGUUCAUGAUAAGAUCAUUAUGUUAAUUGGAACAUGGAGAACCACCCGGGAAAACAGUGCUACCACAAGGGUUUAAUGGGACGCCCUUGGCCGAUUAAUUAGGAAAGCUAGUGGAAGACUACCUUACCCGAAAGGGGCAAGGGCAGUAGGGGAGUGGUCAGUGUAGGGAGGCCCUCGGGAGGAUUUUGCUGCGAUGGCGGUCCUGCAAGGGAUUCCUGCAUUGGAGCUUCCUAUAAACUGUAGCGGGUUUUCUGAAGCUAGUGGAACUUUGUAAAGGCCUCGUAGUGUUACCCUGCCUCGCCUCCUCGGUAGAGGUGUAUGGGAAGUCGCGAUCCCUUGGCAGAUGGGUAACAUGACUUGUGGGUAAAGAUGCGCCACCUCUGCAGAGUGUAAAACUGGUAUACUAGCCGUGCUCACGGUCAUGAGCGGCUCGGACACUCACAUGAUUAAAUUAUGGAACUUAAACUCAAUUUGUCAUGUGCAUUGCAUCGCAGGUGAGGUUGUUACUUUUGUUCUACUACUUAAUUGGGCUGGUAUUUACUUAUACUUAGUAAUUGCUAAUAAAAUUUUGACCAACUUUAAAAGCAAUGCUCAGCUCUAACCAUCCUCUUUGGUAAGCCUUACACUUCACAUGAACUCCCACCUUUGGCGAGUUCAUUCACAUUAUUCCCCACAACUUGUUGAGCGAUGAACGUAUGUGAGCUCACUCUUGCUGUCUCACACCCCCCACAGGUCAAGAACAGGUACCACAGGAUGAGGCGCGUGGAGGAUGCUGCGAUGAGUUCGUGAGUGGUCUAGGUCGUCGUCUCCCAGUCAACUUUGGGUUGCUGGACCGUUGUCUCCUCAUAAUGUAAUUAUUUAUUUAUUUUGUAUAGAACUUCUAUUAUAUAGUAAAGAUGUGACAUUCGAUCCUGUGCCAUGAUUCAUCAUAUGUGUGAGACUUGGUCCCAGCACACCUGGUGAUUAUGUUCGCGCCCGGGUCUUGGUGCCCCAAAAUCCGGGUGUGACAGAAGUGGUAUCAGAGGAAUGUUGACUGUAGGACGAAACCUAGAUAGAACUGGACAACAAAUACUUACUCACCUUUGCUACUCUGAUUCUUUUCUAAACUUUUCUUAAUCUUUUCUCAUCUAUUUCCGCUUUACUCUGAUUAUUCUUACCUUUUCAUUCUAAAGACAAAUGUGGAUUUCACACUUUGAAAUCAUGUGCCUAAAGUGACUUUAGGAAUAGGAGACCUACUCUUAGGAACAAAAACAAAACUAUUUUUAUAGGUAUUUGUAUGCUUGAAUGUUUGUUCUUAUGAUACUUGUUUGAUUUGGAUCUUUGAUUGAGUGAGAUAAGUUGUGGAGUAAUGUCCACAAUUACAUCUGCAUAUACAUAUAGGUAUAAAUAUAAAUAAAUAAAUUCAUAAGAUAACUAAACAACAUGAGUUAUCUUCCAUUAAAGUGUAUCUAUUUUAUAUAGAUCCCUCAUAUCUUAAAAGACUCUCUCUUACCUUAAUAAGAUUCAUCUUAUCUUGAAAAUAUUUUAUCUUAUCCUAAUAGAUCUAACUGACCUCACAAGAUUCUACCUUAUCCUUAUGGAUUUAUCUUGUUCUAAUAGGCAUACCUAUAGUAACAACCAUGAUCUAGCCUAAAAUAAAUAGAUCUUAUCUAGUUAUACCAAUCUGAUCUAGAUCCCAUCUAAUCUAACAUGAUCUAAUCCAAAUUGAGUUACUUAAAUAAGUUAUAAUGUUGGCGACAUAAAUUAUGCCAUAAUUCUAUAAACAUACCUUACCCUAAAUUAAUACCUUGGACUAACUCAUCCGUAAAAAAACAACCUAACCUACAUCAUAGGUUGCCUAAUCUGGAUCUCCCAAAAGCAAAGUAAGACUCUGUUUAAACCUAACUACCUCAUGUACCCUAGCUAUCCUAGCUAUAUGUCCUUAGUCAUAUGUCCUCAACUCGGAUGGCAACUCCAGGAUUGAGGGCCAAAGAAGACCAACAUCAUCAAGGGAGGAUAAGCACCAACUCAAGUCUUCAAAAGGGCAAAGCGGAAUCACUAGAUGAGUCAAGAUCCACCAUCCAUAAUGGAACCUUUCUUUGCCCUAAUCCUUAUUACCGCAACCUUCUCUACUUCUGCCUAAUAGCUAAACAUAGUAUACCCAUGUGUUCCUAAUAAUUUCCUUAUUUAAUGACUUAAAAAAAUAUAUAUAGAAAACAUUUGUGCUUAAAACCAUAAAAAACUCAAAGCUAAAACCAAACAUUUGGCUUUCUAUGUCCCUUUUUCUUACAAAUCUCGAGGACGAGAUUUCUGUUAAGGGGGGUAGGAUUUGUAACACCCACUUUGUAAGAAAAUCGAAAAGGAGAAAAUUAUAUCCCUUUGUAUACAUGAGUGUGUCAUCUCUAUCUAUUAUUUCAUGUGAACACAUUACUUACACAAAUAAACCAUUAACAAGAGACACCCAAAUAAAUGGUGCAUCAUGCUGGAGUUAUGUGAUUGUGCAUUUGUGGAUAAUAAAAAUAAAAGUGCCAAUAACAAUAUAUAAAUGGAUCCAUAGAAUUUAAACCCUAAUUUGAAAACAAAACCUUGAAAAAUUGGAGAAGAAGAAAGAAAGGUACAAAAAUUAUACAAAAUAAAUAUUAUAAAUAAAAGUAAUAUGGGUAUGUUCAAACUAUGUGUUAGUUGAGAAUAAUAAAACCACAACAGUUGGUGAAUUCAAAAUUUAAAGUUCAAAUCAAAAAGGCAAAAGAAAAGGAAGAAGAAAUAGAAAAGAAAAAGAAUGGAACAAACCUGUAACUAGGCCUAAUCUGCGAUGUCGGCCCACUUGUGCUCGUGGUCCGCUACCCAGACUGUGGCCGUACGCCUAUGGAAUUAAGCGCCGGCAGGUGGGGCCCUUUGGGCAGUGGCACUAGCGCUUCCACACUUUCUCUCCUUCACUGAUCCGCGGGGCUGCCUUGCCAGCCACCCCGGGGCACGCCGUGUUCUGGUGAAUCACUGCCUGGUUGGCCCGGUUGCACAGGGUUAUCUUCCCCACAUGAUUCGGCAGCCCGGCCGAAGUUCAUGGCGCCCGCGCAGAUCCGAACUUGCUGGCCGAUGUGGGCCUCGCCUACUGCGUCACCAGCAAGCACUCGCCAACUCCCCUCCUCCAGUCUGCGCGUACACUGGGGAAGCUAUAGCGCAACGAAACCCGCUUCCUGCGUGGCUUCAACGGCGGACUACCGCGCGCAAGCUGCGCGCCAGCCGGAUCCCGGGGCCAUUCCGCCCGCCGGACCCGCGGCAACUAGCUCCGCUUCCUGCUCCGUAAUGGACGCUGCGAGUUCGCCGUUGGGACUAAGCCCACGUAGGUCCGCACGCUUACCAUUGGUGCUCGUCGACCGAUCGGGUCUGCACGUGGAGAUCUCCGGUCAACAGAAGCCGCAGCCAUUGAACCACCUCCGCGGCAAUCGGGGGCAGUUGCAACCACCCCACCGCCUCGGCCUCCUACCCUCACCCCUAUAUAAUCGCGGGCUCCGGUAUCUGCUGCGAAUCGUGGUGCUCGGCGUGCCGCCGUGGGGAGUCGCCGCGAGGUACUGCCGCCAUUAUUCCCGAUCGGUGGUGUGCACACGGUCGCGGGACCCCGCUGGUGUCGCCAGAUCGCGUUGGAGUCGGUGCGUGGAGAGAAGAACGGUCUCGGUGGCCAUAUUCGCUCGCCGCCGCCGCGACUUCGCCCCACGCCGUGGAUCACUCCCUAGCCGCCAUCUCUACCUACGGUGAGCCCCUAGUAUGUUUCGCCAUCGUCUGAAUUGUGCGUAGGGGCCUUCGAAUGACGUUGUAGGGGCCCAGAUCGGCCGAAUCGCGUGGCUCCGGCGAGGAUCCGCCGUGACCUCGGGCGGUGCCGCCCCUGCUCGGGUGUUGACGCAGGGGGGGAAAUUGACGAGGUGCAUCUGGCCGUCUGUUCCGCUGUGAUCGCGUAGGAUUAGGUCUGGGUAGCGCUUUGCCCGCGACCAUUAGAUAUCGAUCGGACGGUGCGGGAUGGAUCAAGCUUCAUAAAAUCAGGGUCGUCGGUUUCCGAUCCUGUGGCUUCCCUUGCGUACCGGUUCGCAAGAUGGCCGAUCUAUUCUGAUCCGUGGAUGUAUGAUCCAACGGCCCAAAUCCCUCCUUACCCCUUCGGCCGUGACCUUUUUACUAAAGGGACCCCAAACUUUCGCAGAAUCAACCCGCAGUAUCCCUCGGAUGUGGCUGUGUUUGGGCGAUUUUGCAAGUUAAACCCCGAGCUCCCUGGUUAUUGUGUGCGCAGUCCAGAGCUCAGAGAAAAUAGGAAAAAUGAAUUUAGAAAAUGAAUUUUCAAUGUAAAAAGAAUUCUAGAACCUAUUUAAUGCAUAGAAAAUUCAUUUUAGCUCCUUUUUAAUCCAUUCCAGUUCCCAUAAUUUUGUAUUAAUAUUGUCUAUUACUUGGUAACACUAUUUUAACAUGAAACCCAUACUAGAAUUAAUUACUCAAUUAAUUUCGUAGCAAACACAUAAAACCUUCAGAAAUUCAUAACUCAUCCGUUAUAAUUCCGAUUUGAUCCGUUCAAGUUGUGUUAGUCUCGUAUAAAUAUUUACUAUGCAAUAACAAUAUUUAUUAUACCAUGCCUCAUUAUUUUAUAAUUAGAUUUCUAUUUAACUUAGGUUGGUUAGUUUCGUUAAUGUAUUCAUCAUUACUUGCUAAACUGUGAUAUAUGAUUAAUUUAUAACUUAGAUUAAAGUUGAGAUAAUUAUUUAUAGAAUAACCACUCAUAUGAUUUACACUAACCAAUUUAUAAUAUGGUUUAAUAUUUAAAUCACGUAGAACUUCUUAAUCGUAACUCCGAUCUUAGUAGUUCUCAAUCCCACGAGCUCGUAGCGACGCGUAGAUCAUUAUUAUUCAGUUGUACUUAUGUUUGGUGUGAUGUUAAUUUUGUAUAUACCAUGUUUGUUUGUAUUGCUACGACUAGCAGUGAGGUCACGAGAAUCUGAAGAAUCAUCCUGGUACCUGGAAUCUCAAGUCUCAGGCAAGUUGUGCCCUUGAUCACUUCUUUUUACCCACUCAUGUUCUAAUUAAUCAUAAUGAUCUGCAUAGGUUAAUUUUGAUGGGACCCAAUAGGUUACCCUAGUUUGUCUAUCUUUAUACCUUGUUUACCACUUAACUUUUUGGGUAGUACUUGCUAGUGCUUUAUGUGGUUUUGGGUAUGAAGAUACAUUAUUCAUAAUUACACUUUUGCUAUCAGUUGUUAUUUACUGUUCAUGAUAAGAUCAUUAUGUUAAUUGGAACAUGGAGAACCACCCGGGAAAACAGUGCUACCACAAGGGUUUAAUGGGACGCCCUUGGCCGAUUAAUUAGGAAAGCUAGUGGAAGACUACCUUACCCGAAAGGGGCAAGGGCAGUAGGGGAGUGGUCAGUGUAGGGAGGCCCUCGGGAGGAUUUUGCUGCGAUGGCGGUCCUGCAAGGGAUUCCUGCAUUGGAGCUUCCUAUAAACUGUAGCGGGUUUUCUGAAGCUAGUGGAACUUUGUAAAGGCCUCGUAGUGUUACCCUGCCUCGCCUCCUCGGUAGAGGUGUAUGGGAAGUCGCGAUCCCUUGGCAGAUGGGUAACAUGACUUGUGGGUAAAGAUGCGCCACCUCUGCAGAGUGUAAAACUGGUAUACUAGCCGUGCUCACGGUCAUGAGCGGCUCGGACACUCACAUGAUUAAAUUAUGGAACUUAAACUCAAUUUGUCAUGUGCAUUGCAUCGCAGGUGAGGUUGUUACUUUUGUUCUACUACUUAAUUGGGCUGGUAUUUACUUAUACUUAGUAAUUGCUAAUAAAAUUUUGACCAACUUUAAAAGCAAUGCUCAGCUCUAACCAUCCUCUUUGGUAAGCCUUACACUUCACAUGAACUCCCACCUUUGGCGAGUUCAUUCACAUUAUUCCCCACAACUUGUUGAGCGAUGAACGUAUGUGAGCUCACUCUUGCUAUCUCACACCCCCCACAGGUCAAGAACAGGUACCACAGGAUGAGGCGCGUGGAGGAUGCUGCGAUGAGUUCGUGAGUGGUCUAGGUCGUCGUCUCCCAGUCAACUUUGGGUUGCUGGACCGUUGUCUCCUCAUAAUGUAAUUAUUUAUUUAUUUUGUAUAGAACUUCUAUUAUAUAGUAAAGAUGUGACAUUCGAUCCUGUGCCAUGAUUCAUCAUAUGUGUGAGACUUGGUCCCAGCACACCUGGUGAUUAUGUUCGCGCCCGGGUCUUGGUGCCCCAAAAUCCGGGUGUGACAUUUCCCGACGGUGAUGAGUUCAGCUUGGAGUUCUCUGGUGCACCGGACACUGUCCGGUGGCCCACCGGACAGUCCGGUGCGCCAGACCAGGGCACACUUCGGUUGUCCCUUGCUCUCUUUGUUUGAACCCUUUUCUUGGUCUUUUUAUUGGCUUAGUGUGAACCUUUGGCACCUGUAUAACUUAUAGACUAGAGCAAACUAGUUAGUCCAAUUAUUUGUGUUGGGCAAUUCAACCACCAAAAUCAAUUAGGAAAUAGGUGUAAGCCUAAUUCCCUUUCAAUCUCCCCCUUUUUGGUGAUUGAUGCCAACACAAUACCAAAGCAAGUAUAGAAAUGCAUAAUUGAACUAGUUUGCAUAAUGUAAGUGCAAAGGUUACUUAGAAUUGAGCCAGUAUAAAUUUUCAUAAGAUAUGCAUGGUUUGUUUCUUUAUUUUUAACAUUUUGGACCACGCUUGCACCACUCAUUUUGUUUUUUGCAAAUUCUUUUGUAAAUCCUUUUCAAAGUCCUUUUGCAAAUAGUCAAAGGUAAAUGAAUAAGAUUUUGCGAAGCAUUUUCAAGAUUUGAAAUUUUCUCCCCCUGUUUCAAAUGCUUUUCCUUUGACUAAACAAAACUCCCCCUCAAUGAAAUUCUCCUCUUAGUGUUCAAGAGGGUUUUAAGAUAUCAAUUUUGAAAAUACUACCUUCUCCCCCUUUUGAACACAAUAAGAUACCAAUUUGAAAAUCAUUAGUUUUAAAAUUAGGUGGUGGUGCGGUCCUUUUGCUUUGGGCUAAUACUUUCUCCCCCUUUGGCAUAAAUCGCCAAAAACGGAUACUUUGAGUGAAAUAUAAGCCCUUUCCUAACUACUUUCUCCCCUUUGGCAAGUAAAACCUGAGUGAAGAUUAUACCAAAGACGGAGAGUUGCUCGGAGCGACGGCGAAGGAUGAGUUAUGGAGUGGAGUGGAAGCCUUUGUCUUCGCCGAAGACUCCAAUUCCCUUUCAAUACACCUAUGACUUGGAUUGAAAUUCACUUGAAGACACAUUAGUCAUAGCAUAUGAAAGAGACAUGAUCAAGGGUAUAUUAAUGAGCUAUAUGUGCAAGAUAUCAAAAGAAAUUCCUAGAAUCAAGAAUAUUUAGCUCAUGCCUAAGUUUGUUAAAAGUUUGUUCAUCUAGUGGCUUGGUAAAGAUAUCGGCUAAUUGAUCUUUAGUGUUAAUAUAUGCAAUCUCGAUAUCUCCCUUUUGUUGGUGAUCCCUUAGAAAAUGAUAUCGAAUGGCUAUGUGUUUAGUGCGGCUAUGCUCAACGGGAUUAUCCGCCAUGCGGAUUGCACUCUCAUUAUCACAUAGAAGAGGAACUUUGGUUAAUUUGUAACCAUAGUCCCUAAGGGUUUGCCUCAUCCAAAGUAGUUGCGCGCAACAAUGUCCUGCGGCAAUAUACUCGGCUUCGGCGGUAGAAAGAGCUACGGAAUUUUGCUUCUUUGAAGCCCAAGACACCAAGGAUCUUCCCAAGAACUGGCAAGUCCCCGAUGUGCUCUUUCUAUUAAUUUUACACCCCGCUCAAUCGGCAUCCGAAUAACCAAUUAAAUCAAAGGUGGAUCCCCUAGGAUACCAAAGCCCAAACUUAGGAGUAUAAACUAAAUAUCUCAAGAUUCAUUUUACGGCCGUAAGGUGAGCUUCCUUAGGGUCGGCUUGGAAUCUUGCACACAUGCAUACGGAAAGCAUAAUAUCCGGUCGAGAUGCACAUAAAUAGAGUAAAGAGCCUAUCAUCGACCGGUAUACCUUUUGAUCUACGGAUUUACCUUCCAUGUCGAGGUCGAGAUGCCCAUUGGUUCCCAUGGGUGUCUUGAUGGGUUUGGCAUCCUUCAUCCCAAACUUGCUUAGAAUAUCUUGAGUAUACUUUGUUUGGCUUAGGAAGGUGCCCUCUUGGAGUUGCUUCACUUGAAAUCCCAAGAAGUACUUCAACUCCCCCAUCAUUGACAUCUCGAAUUUUUGUGUCAUGAUCCUACUAAACUCUUCACAUGUAGAUUCGUUAGUAGACCCAAAUAUAAUAUCAUAAACAUAAAUUUGCCAUACAAACAAAUCAUUUUCAAGUGUUUUGGUAAAGAGUGUAGGAUCGGCCUUUCCGACUUUGAAUCCAUUAGUGAUAAGGAAAUCUCUAAGGCAUUCAUACCAUGCUCUUGGGGCUUGCUUGAGCCCAUAAAGCGCCUUAGAGAGUUUAUAAACAUGGUUAGGAUACUCACUAUCUUCAAAGCCGGGAGGUUGCUCAACAUAAACCUCUUCCUUGAUUGGUCCAUUGAGGAAGGCACUCUUCACGUCCAUUUGAUAAAGCUUGAAGCCAUGGUAAGUAGCAUAGGCAAGCAAUAUACGAAUUGACUCAAGCCUAGCUACGGGUGCAUAGGUUUCACCGAAAUCCAAGCCUUCGACUUGUGAAUAUCCUUUGGCCACAAGUCGAGCUUUGUUCCUUGUCACCACACCAUGCUCGUCUUGCUUGUUGCGGAAGACCCAUUUGGUUCCUACAACAUUUUGAUUAGGACGUGGAACCAAAUGCCAUACCUCAUUCCUAGUGAAGUUGUUGAGCUCCUCUUGCAUCGCCACCACCCAAUCCGAAUCUUGUAGUGCUUCCUCUACCCUGUGUGGCUCCAUAGAGGAAACAAAAGAGUAAUGCUCACAAAAAUGUGCAACACGAGAUCUAGUUGUUACCCCCUUAUGAAUGUCGCCGAGGAUUGUGUCGACGGGGUGAUCUCGUUGGAUUGCUUGGUGGACUCUUGGGUGUGGCGGCCUUGGUUCUUCAUCCUCCUUGUCUUGAUCAUUUGCAUCUCCCCCUUGAUUGUUGCCGUCAUCUUGAGGUGGCUCUUGAUCUUCUCCUUCAUCAACUUGAGCCUCAUCCUCAUUUUGAGUUGGUGGAGAUGCUUGCAUGGAGGAGGAUGGUUGAUCUUGUGCAUUUGGAGGCUCUUCGGAUUCCUUAGGACACACAUCCCCAAUGGACAUGUUCCUUAGCGCGAUGCACGGAACCUCUUCAUCGCCUAUCUCAUCAAGAUCAACUUGCUCUACUUGAGAGCCGUUAGUCUCAUCAAACACAACGUCACAAGAAACUUCAACUAGUCCUGACAACAUCACAAGAAACUUCAACUAGUCCUGAGGACUUGUUAAAGACUCUAUAUGACCUUGUGUUUGAAUCAUAUCCUAGUAAAAAGCCUUCUACAGUCUUAGGAGCAAAUUUAGAUUUUCUACCUCUUUUAACAAGAAUAAAGCAUUUGCUACCAAAGACUCUAAAAUAUGAAAUAUUGGGCUUUUUACCGGUUAGGAGUUCGUAUGAUGUCUUCUUGAGGAUUCGGUGUAGAUACAACCGGUUGAUGGCGUAGCAGGCGGUGUUGACCGCCUCGGCCCAAAACCGAUCCGAGGUCUUGUACUCAUCAAGCAUGGUUCUUGCCAUGUCCAAUAGAGUUCUAUUCUUCCUCUCCACUACACCAUUUUGUUGUGGCGUGUAGGGAGAAGAGAACUCAUGCUUGAUGCCCUCCUCCUCAAGGAAGCCUUCAAUUUGAGAGUUCUUGAACUCCGUCCCGUUGUCGCUUCUAAUUUUCUUGAUCCUUAAGCCGAACUCGUUUUGAGCCCGUCUCAAGAAUCCUUUUAAAGUCUCUUGGGUAUGAGAUUUUUCCUACAAAAAGAACACCCAAGUGAAGCGAGAAUAAUCAUCCACAAUAACUAGACAGUACUUACUCCCGCCGAUGCUUAUGUAAGCAAUCGGGCCGAAUAGAUCCAUGUGUAGGAGCUCGAGCGGCCUGUCAGUCGUCAUGAUGUUCUUGUGCGGAUGAUGAGCACCAACUUGCUUCCCUGCCUGACAUGUGCUACAAACCCUGUCGUUCUCAAAAUGAACAUUUGUUAGUCCCAAAAUGUGUUCUCCCUUUAGAAGUUUGUGAAGAUUCUUCAUUCCAACAUGUGCUAGUCGGCGAUGCCAGAGCUAGCCCAUGUUAGUCUUAGCAAUUAUGCAAGUGUCGAGUUCAGCUCUAUCAAAAUCCACUAAGUAUAGUUGACCCUCUAACACUCCCUUAAAUGCUAUUGAAUCAUCACUUCUUCUAAAGACAGUGACACCUACAUCAGUAAAUAGACAGUUGUAGCCCAUUUGACAUAAUUGAGAAACGGAAAGCAAAUUGUAAUCUAAAGAAUCUACAAGAAAAACAUUGGAAAUAGAAUGGUCAGGUGAUAUAGCAAUUUUACCUAAUCCUUUGACCAAACCUUGGUUUCCAUCCCCGAAUGUGAUAGCUCGUUGAGGAUCUUGGUUUUUCUCGUAGGAGGAGAACAUCUUCUUCUCUCCUGUCAUGUGGUUUGUGCACCCGCUGUCGAUGAUCCAACUUGAGCCCCCGGAUGCAUAAACCUACAAAACAAGUUUAGUUCUUGACUUUAGGUACCCAAACUGUUUUGGGUCCUUUGGCAUUAGAUACAAGAACUUUGGGUACCCAAACACAAGUUUUUGAUCCCUUGUGUUUGCCCCCAACAAACUUGGCAACCACCUUGCCUGAUUUGUUAGUUAAGACAUAGGAUGCAUCAAGAGUUUUAAAGGAAAUGUCAUGAUCAUUUGAUGCACUAGGAGUUUUCUUCUUAGGCAACUUAGCACGGGUUGGUUGACUAGAACUAGAUGUCUCACCCUUAUACAUAAAAGCAUGGUUAGGGCCAGAGUGAGACUUCCUAGAAUGAAUUUUCCUAAUUUUGCUCUCGGGAUAACCGGCAGGAUACAAAAUGUAACCCUCGUUAUCCUGAGGCAUGGGAGCCUUGCCCUUAACAAAGUUGGACAAUUUCUUAGGAGGGGCAUUAAGUUUGACAUUGCCUCCCUGUUGGAAACCAAUGCCAUCCUUAAUGCCGGGGCGUCUCCCAUUAUAAAGCAUACUACGAGCAAACUUAAAUUUUUCAUUUUCUAGUUCAUGCUCGGCAAUUUUAGCAUCUAAUUUAGCUAUAUGAUCAUUUUGUUGUUUAAUCAUGGAAAGGUGAUCAUGUAUAGCAUUAAUAUCAACAUCUCUACAUCUAGUGCAAAUAGUGACAUGCUCAGUGGUAGAUGUAGAGGGUUUGCAAGAAUUAAGUUCAACAAUCUUAGUACGCAAUAUAUCAUUUUUAUCUCUAAGAUCGAAAAUUGUAACAAUGCAAACAUCUAGUUCUUUAGCCUUAGCAAGCAAUUUUUCAUUCUCAAUCCUAAGGCUAGCAAGAGAAAUGUUUAAUUCUUCAAUCUUAGCAAGCAAAUCAUCAUUAUCAUUUCUAAGAUUGGGAAUUGAAACAUCACAAGCAUUUAAAUCAACCUUAGCAAUUAAUUUUGCAUUCUCAUUUCUAAGGUUGUCAACCUUCUCAUGGCAAGUGCUUAGCUCACUAGAUAGUUUUUCACAUUUUUCUACUUCUAGAGCAUAAGCAUUUUUAACCUUAACAUGCUUUUUGUUUUCUUUAAUAAGGAAGUCCUCUUGGGUGUCCAAGAGAUCAUCCUUCUCAUGAAUAGCACUAAUCAAUUCAUUUAAUUUCUCCUUUUGUUGCAUGUUUAGGUUGGCAAAAAGGGUACGCAAAUUAUCCUCCUCAUCACUAGCAUUAUCAUCACUAGAGGACUCAUAUUUAGUGGAGGAUUUGGAUUUAACCUUCUUCUUUUUGCCGUCCUUUGCCAUGAGGCACUUAUGGCCGACGUUGGGGAAGAGGAGACCCUUGGUGACGGCGAUGUUUGCGGUGUCCUCGUCGAAGGAGGAGUCGGUAGAGCUCUUGUCGGAGUCCCAUUCCCGGCAAACAUGGGCAUCGCCGCCCUUCUUCUUGUAGUAUCUCUUCUUCUCCUUUCUUCUCCCCUUCUUGUCGUCGCCCCUGUCACUGUCACUAGAUAGUGGACAUUUUGCAAUAAAAUGACCGGGCUUACCACAUUUGUAGUACACUUUCUUAGAGCGGGGCUUGUAAUCCUUCCCCCUCCUUUGCUUGAGGAUUUGGCGGAAGCUCUUGAUGACGAGCGCCAUCUCCUCAUUGUCGAGCUUUGAGGCGUCGAUUAGUUGUCUACUCGAUGUAGACUCCUCCUUCUUUUCCUCCGUCGCCUUGAAUACGACCGGUUGUGCUUCGGACGUGGAGGGGCCAUCAAGCUCGUUGAUCUUCUUUGAGCCUUUGAUCAUUAAUUCAAAGCUCACAAAAUUCCCUAUUACCUCCUCGGGAGACAUUAGUGUAUAUCUAGGAUUUCCUCGAAUUAAUUGAACUUGCGUAGGGUUAAUAAAAACGAGGGAUCUUAGAAUAACCUUGACCAUUUCAUGGUCAUCCCAUUUCUUGCUCCCAAGGUUGCGCACUUGGUUCACCAAGGUCUUGAGCUAGUUGUACAUGUCUUGUGGCUCCUCCCCUUGGCGAAGACGGAAGCGACCGAGCUCCCCCUCGAUCGUUUCCCGCUUGGUGAUUUUGGUCACCUCGUCUCCUUCGUGCGCGGUAUUUAGCGUGUCCCAAAUCUCCUUAGCAUUUUUCAACCCUUGCACCUUGUUAUACUCCUCUCGACUUAGAGAGGCGAGGAGUAUAGUUGAGGCUUGGGAGUUGAAUUGUUGGAUUUGGGCCACUUCAUCCCCUACGGAUGGUACCUGUACACCAAACUCAACUACAUCCCAUAUACUUUUGUGGAGUGAGGUUAGAUGAAAUCGCAUCAAAUCACUCCACCUAGCAUAAUCUUCACCAUCAAAAGUUGGUGGUUUGCCUAAUGGGACGGAAAGUAAAGGCGUAUGUUUAGGAAUGCGAGGAUAGCGUAAGGGGAUCUUACUAAACUUCUUGCGCUCAUGGCGCUUAGAAGUGACGGACGGCGAGUCAGAGCCGGAGGUGGAUGGUGAUGAGGUGUCGGUCUCGUAGUAGACCAUCUUCCUCAUCUUCUUCUUCUUAUCACCGCUCCGACGCGACUUGUGUGAAGGGGAUUCCUAUUCCUUUUCCUUUCCCUUCCCUUUGUUGUAGGACUCUCCCGAUGGAGCCUUCCCAUGGCUUGUAGCGGGCUUCUCGCCGGUCACCAUAUCCUUCUUGGUGUGAUCUCCCGACAUUACUUCGAGCGGUUAGGCUCUAAUGAAGCACCGGCUCUGAUACCAAUUGAAAGUUGCCUAGAGGGGGGUGAAUAGGGCGAAUCUGAAAUUUACAAACUUAAUCACAACUACAAGCCGGGUUAGCGUUAGAAAUAGAAACGAGUCCGAGAGAGGGCGCAAAACAAAUCGCAAGCUAAUAAAGAGUGUGACACAAGGAUUUGUUUUACCGAGGUUCGAUUCUCUCAAACCUACUCCCCGUUGAGGUGGUCACAAUGACCGGGUCUCUUUCAACCCUUUCCCUCUCUCAAACGGUCCCUCGGACCGAGUGAGCUUCUUCUUCUCAAUCAAACAGGAACAAUUUUCCCCGCAAGGACCACCACACAAUUGGUGUCUCUUGCCUCGGUUACAAUUGAGUUGUUUGCAAGAAAGAGUGAAAGAAAGAAGCAAUCCAAGCGCAAGAGCUCAAAAGAACACAACAAAUCUCUCUCACUAAUCACUAAUGCUUUGUGUGGAAUUGGGAGAGGAUUUGAUCACUUGGGUGUGUCUAGAAUUGAAUGCUAGAGCUCUUGUAAGUAGUUGGAAGGUGGAAAACUUGGAUGACUUGAAUGGGGGGUGGUUGGGGGUAUUUAUAACCCCAACCACCAAACUAGCCGUUUGGUGGAGGCUGUUGUCGACGGGCGCACCGAACAGUCCGGUGCGCUAGCCACGUCACCUGGUCGUUGGGUUCCGACCGUUGGAGCUCUGUCUUGUGGGCUCGCCUGGCUGUCCGGUGGCGCACCGGAUAAGUCCAGUAGACUGUCCGGUGUGCCACCCACGCGUGCUCUGUCCUCUGCGCGCGCAGGCGCGCAUUUAAUGCGUUGCAGUCGACCGUUGCGCGCGAAGUAGUCGUUGCUCCGCUGGCUCACUGGACAGUCCAGUGUGCACCGGACAUGUCUGGUGAAUUAUAGCGGGGCGGAUUCCCGAAGCUGGCGAGUUCAGAGCCGCUCUUCCUUAGGGCACCGGACACUGUCCGGUGGUGCACCAGACAGUCCGGUGAAUUAUAGCGAAGCGCCUCUGAGAUUUCCCGACGGUGAUGAGUUCAGCUUGGAGUUCCCUGGUGCACCGGACACUGUCCGGUGGCACACCGAAUAGUCCGGUGCGCCAGACCAGGGCACACUCCGGUUGUCCCUUGCUCUCUUUGUUUGAACCCUUUUCUUGGUCUUUUUAUUGCUUUAGUGUGAACCUUUGGCACCUGUAUAACUUAUAGACUGGAGCAAACUAGUUAGUCCAAUUAUUUGUGUUGGGCAAUUCAACCACCAAAAUCAAUUAGGAAAUAGGUGUAAGCCUAAUUCCCUUUCAGUCAUCCUGGUGUCGCGGAUGGUCCGCCGCAAGGGCCCGGACGGUCCGCGCUUAGUCUGUUUUUCCAAAAAGCUUCUCUUGUCCGGAAUAAUCUACGGUAUUCCGGACAGUCGAUUUAUAUUAGUUGUAGAUGAACUUAUGCACAUGUGGAAUGAUCAACUAGACAAACUGGUUAGUCCACAAGGUUUGUGAUGGUCGUCAAACACCAAAAUCGAUUAUAGGAAAUGUUGAGACUAUUUCCCUUUCAAUCUCCCCCUUUUUGGUGAUUGAUGCCAACACAAACCAAAGCAAAUACAAAGUGUAGAAAUGUAACUAGUUUGCAUUUUGACAGAUGUGCAUAAGUUAUUUUGAAAUGAAAGCAUUUCUAAGCAGAUAAGUUUGAUAUGAUAAUUUUAACAUUUUGGACCACAUUUGCACCACUUGUUUUGUUUUUGCAAAUUCUUUUGGAAAAUCUUUUCAAAGUCUUUUUGCAAAUAGUCAAAGGUAUAUGAAUAAGAUUGCAAGAAGCAUUUUCAGGAUUUGAAAUUUCUCCUCCUGUUUCAAAUGCUUUUCCUUUGACUAGAACAAAACUCCCCCUAAAUAAAAUUCUCCUCUUAGUGUUCAAGAGGGUUUUUACCAAUUUUUGUAAAUACCAAUUGAAAAAGAUCAAAUACAUUUUGAUACCAAUUUGAAAAAUUCUUGAAAAUUUUGAAUUUGGCGGUGGUGCGGUCCUUUUGCUUUGGGGCUAAUAUUUUCUCCCCCUUUGGCAUGAAUCGCCAAAAACGGAGACUUUUGAAAGCCCUUUUUACUUUCUCCUCCAUUGGUAAAUAAAAUAUGAGUGAAGAUUAUACCAAUCGAAGAGUGGUGUGGGGUGACGGCGAAGGGUAAUUGAUACCGAUAAAGUGGAGUGGAAGCCUUGUCGUCGCCGAAGACUCCAUUUCCCUUUCAAUCUAUGACUUAGUAGAAAUACACUUGAAUACACAUUAGUCAUAGCCUUGGUACAUAAAUAAUACAAAAUUUGCAUUUGUACCAAAAUGAAGGAGAUAUGAUCAAAGGUAUAUAAAUGAGCUAUGUGUGCAAUGUUUCAAUCAAAAUUCCAAGAAUCAAGUAUAUUUAGCUCAUUCCUAAGUUUGGUAAAGGUUUUCUCAUCUAAUGGUUUGGUAAAGAUAUCGGCUAGUUGUUCUUUGGUGCUAACAUAAGCAAUCUCGAUAUCCCCCCUUUGUUGGUGAUCCCUCAAAAAGUGAUACCGAAUGGCUAUGUGCUUAGUGCGGUUGUGUUCAAGGGGAUUAUCCGCCAUGCAGAUUGCACUCUCAUUGUCACAUAGGAGAGGGACUUUGCUCAACUUGUAGCCAUAGUCCCUAAGGGUUUGCCUCAUCCAAAGCAAUUGCGCGCAACAAUGGCCUACGGCAAUAUACUCAGCUUCGGCGAUAGAAAGAGCUACUGAAUUUUGUUUCUUUGAAGCUCAAGACACCAGAGAUCUUCCCAGAAACUGACAAGUCCCUGAUAUGCUCUUUCUAUCAAUUUUACACCCUGCCCAAUCAGCAUCUGAAUAACGUAUUAAAUCAAAAGUGGAUCCCUUGGGGUACAAAAGACCAAACUUAGGUGUAUAAACUAAAUAUCUCAUGAUUCUUUUCACGGCCCUAAGGUGAACUUCCUUAGGGUCGACUUGGAACCUUGCACACAUGCAUACAGAAAGCAUAAUAUUCGGCCGAGAUGCACAUAAAUAGAGUAAAGAUCCUAUCAUUGACCGAUAUACCUUUUGAUCUACGGAUUUACCUCCCGUGUCGAGGUCGAGAUGCCCAUUGGUUCCCAUGGGUGUCUUGAUGGGCUUGGCAUCCUUUAUUCCAAAUUUGGUAAGUAUGUCUUGAAUAUAUUUCGUUUGGCUGAUGAAGGUGCCUUCUUGGAGUUGCUUCAAUUGGAAUCCUAAGAAGUACUUCAACUCCCCCAUCAUAGACAUCUCAAAUUUUUGAAUCAUGAUCCUACUAAACUCUUCACAUGUAGAUUUGUUAGUAGACCCAAAUAUGAUAUCAUCAACAUAAAUUUGGAAUACAAACAAAUCCUUUGCAACAAUUUUAGUAAAGAGAGUAGGAUCGGCUUUACCGACUUUGAAGCCAUUAGUGAUAAGAAAAUCUCUUAGGCAUUCAUACCAUGCUCUUGGGGCUUGCUUAAGCCCAUAAAGCGCCUUUGAGAGUUUGUAAACAUGAUUAGGGUACUCACUAUCUUCAAAGCCGCGAGGUUGCUCAACAUAGACCUCUUCCUUGAUUGGUCCAUUGAGGAAGGCAUUUUUCACGUCCAUUUGGUAAAGCUUAAAGCCAUGGUAAAUAGCAUAGGCAAGUAAUAUACGAAUUGAUUCAAGCCUAGCUACGGGUGCAUAGGUUUCACCUAAAUCCAAACCUUCGACUUGUGAAUAUCCCUUGGCCACAAGUCGGGCUUUGUUUCUUGUCACCACACCAUGCUCAUCUUGCUUGUUGUGGAAUACCCACUUGGUUCCUACAACAUUUUGGUUAGGACGUGGAACAAGAUGCCAUACCUCAUUCCUCGUGAAGUUGUUGAGCUCCUCUUGCAUUGUCAACACCCAAUCCGAAUCUCUUAAUGCAUCUUCCACCCUGUAUGGCUCAAUAGAAGACACAAAAGAGUAAUGUUCACAGAAAUGAGCGACACGAGAUCAAGUAGUUACCCCUUUAUGAAUAUCACCGAGGAUGGAGUUCACGGGGCGAUCUCGUUGUAUCGCUUGGUGGACUCUUGGGUGAGGCGGUCUUUGACCAUGUUCUUCUUGAUCAUCUUCCUUGUCUUUGUCAUGGUCAUCUCCCCCUUGAUCAUUGCCCUCCUCUUGAGGUGGCUCAUCUUCUUAAUCAUCUUCUUCAUUGUCCUGAGCCUGAUCCUCAUCUUGAGUUGGUGGAGAUGCUUGAUUUGAAGAUGAUGGUUGAUCUUGUGCUUGUGGAGGCUCUUCGGAUUCCUUAGGACACACAUCCCCAAUGGACAUGUUCCUUAGCACUACGCACGGAGCCUCUUCAUCAUCUAGUUCAUCAAGAUCAACUUGCUCCACUUGGGAGCCAUUAGUCUCAUCAAACACAAUGUCACAAGAAACCUCAACUAAUCCAGUGGAUUUGUUGAAGACUCUAUAUGCCCUUGUGUUUGAGUCAUAACCAAGUAAAAAACCUUCUACAGCCUUAGGAGCAAAUUUGGAUUUUCUACCUCUUUUAACAAGAAUAAAGCAUUUGCUACCAAAGACUCUAAAAUAUGAAACAUUGGGCUUUUUACCGGUGAGGAGUUCAUAUGAUGUCUUCUUGAGGAUUCGGUGAAGGUAGAGCCGGUUGAUGGAGUAGCAAGCAGUGUUGAUUGCUUCCGCCCAAAACCGGUCCGGAGUCUUGUACUCAUCAAGCAUGGUCCUUGCCAUGUCAAGUAGAGUUCUAUUCUUCCUCUCCACUACACCAUUUUGUUGAGGUGUGUAGGGAGAAGAGAACUCAUGCUUGAUGCCCUCAUCCUCAAGAAAGCCUUCUAUUUGUGAGUUCUUGAACUCCGUCCUGUUGUCACUUCUUAUUUUCUUGAUCCUUAAUCCGAACUCAUUUUGAGCUCGUCUCAAGAAUCCUUUUAAUGUCUCUUGGGUUUGAGUUUAUUCCUGCAAAAAGAAUACCCAAGUGAAGCGAGAAUAAUCAUCCACAAAUACAAGACAAUACUUACUCCCGCCGAUGCUUAUGUAAGCGAUCGGGCUGAAUAGAUCCAUGUGGAGUAGCUCAAGCGGCCUGUCAGUUGUCAUGAUGUUCUUGUGUGGAUGAUGGGUACCAACUUGCUUCCCUGCUUGACAUGCGCUAGAAACUCUGUCUUUCUCAAAAUGAACAUUGGUUAGUCCCAAAAUGUGUUCUCCCUUUAGAAGCUUGUGAAGAUUCUUCAUCCCAACAUGGGCUAGUCGGUGAUGCCAGAGCCAACCCAUAUUAGUCUUAGCAAUUAAGCAAGUAUCGAGUUCAGCUCUAUUAAAAUCAACUAAGUAUAGCUGACCCUCGAGUACUCCCUUAAAUGCUACUGAAUCAUCACUUCUUCUAAAGACAGUAACACCUAAAUCCGUAAAAAGACAGUUGUAACCCAUUUUGCAUAAUUGAGAUACAGAAAGCAAAUUGUAAUCUAAAGAAUCUACAAGAAAAACAUUGGAAAUAGAGUGGUCAAAAGAUAUUGCAAUUUUACCAAGUCCUUUGACCAAACCUUGAUUACCAUCCCCUAAUGUGAUAGCUCUUUGGGGAUCUUCGUCUUUCUCGUAGGAGGAGAACAUCCUUUUCUCCCCUGUCAUGUGGUUUGUGCACCCGCUAUCAAUUAUCCAACUUGAGCCCCCGGAUGCAUUAACCUACAAAACAAGUUUAGGCCUUGUUCUUAGGUACCCAAACGGUCUUGGGUCCUUUCACAUUAGAAACAAGCACCUUGGGUACCCAAACACAAGUCUUGGAGCCCUUGUGUUUGCCCCCAACAUAUGUGGCAACUACUUUGCCUGAUUUGUUAGUUAGCACAUAAGAUGCAUCAAAAGUCUUAAAUGAAAUAUUGGGUUCAUUUGAUGCAACAGGAGAUUUCUUUUUAGGCAUUUUAACAUGGGUAGAAUGUCUAGAACUAGAUGUCUCAUUCUUAUACAUAAAAGCAUGAUGAGAACCAGAAUGAGACUUUUUAGAAUGAAUUCUCCUAAUUUUAUGCUCAGGAUAACCAGCAGGAUAUAAAAUAUAGCCCUCUUUAUCCUGUGCCAUGGGAGCCUUGCCCUUAACAAAAUUGGACAAUCUCUUAGGGGCAUUAAGCUUGACAUUGUCUCCCUGUUGGAAGCCAAUGCCAUCCUUAAUGCCAGAGCGUCUCCCAUUAUAGAGCAUGCUUCUAGCAAAUUUAAAUUUUUCAUUCUUUAUCUCAUGCUCAUUGAUUUUACUAGUUAAUUGUGCUAUGUGAUCAUUUUGUUCUUUAAUUAAAGCUAGGUGAUCAUGAAUAGCAUCAACAUUAAUAUCUCUACAUCUAGUAUAAAUAGAAACAUGAUCAACACUAGAUGUAGAAGGUUUGCAAGAUUUUAAUUCAUCAAUCUUAGCAUGCAAAAUGGUAUUCUCUUUCUAAGAUUGGAAAUAGAGACAUUGCAAACAUUUAAAUCUUUAGCCUUAGAAAUUAAUUUAUCAUUCUAAAUCUUAAGGCUAGAAAUUGAUUCAUUCAAUUUGUCAAUCUUAGCAAUUAAACUAGCAUUAUCAUUUUUAAGAUUGGCAAUUGAUUCAUCACAAGCAUUUCUCUUUUCAACCUUAGCGAUCAAAUUAGCAUUUUCAAUUCUAAGGUUAGAGAUAGUGUCAUGGCAAAUGCUAAGCUCACUAGUGAAUUUUUCACAUUUCUCUGUUUCCUAAGCAUAAGCAUUUUUCACUUUAACAUGCUUCUUGUUUUCCUUAAUAAGGAAUUCCUCUUGGCUAUCCAAGAGUUCAUCCUUCUCAUGAAUGGCACCUAUCAAUUCAUUCAAUUUUUCCUUUUGUUGCAUGUUUAAGUUGGCAAAAAGAGCAAGCAAAUCAUCUUCAUCAUCACUAGAGCUACCCUCAUCACUAGAUGUCGUAUAUUUAGUAGAGGCUCUAGAUUUUACCUUCUUCUUUUUGUCGUCCUUUGCCAUAAGGCACUUGUGGCCAACGUUGGGGAAGAGGAGGCCUUUGUUGACGGUGAUGUUGGCGGCGUCCUCAUCGGAGGAGGAAUCGGUCGUGCUUUCGUCGGAGUCCCAUUCCCGACACACGUGUGCAUCACCGCCCUUCUUCUUGUAGUGCUUCUUGUUUUCCUUCCUCCUUCCCUUCUUGUCGUCGCCCCUGUCACUAUCACUAGACAUAGGACAUUUAGCAAUGAAAUGACCGAGCUUACCACACUUGUAGCACACUUUCUUGAAGCGGGGUUUAUAAUCCUUCUCCCUCCUUUGCUUGAGGAUUUGGCGGAAGCUCUUGAUGAUGAGCGUCAUUUCCUCGUUGUCGAGCUUGGAGGCGUCGAUGGGGAGCCUACUUGAUGUAGACUCUUCUUUCUUUUCUUCCGUCGCUUUGCAUGCGAUGGGUUGCACCUCGGGUGUGGAGGUGCCGCCUUGCUCGAUGAUUUGUUUGGAGCCUUUGAUCAUCAACUCAAAUUAGCUCACAAACUUUCCUAUCACUUCCUCGGGAGACAUUAGCUUAUAUCUAGGAUCACCACGUAUUAAUUGAACUUGAGUAGGAUUACGAAAUACGAGUGAUCUAAGAAUAACCUUGACCAUUUCAUGGUCAUCCCAUUUUGUGCUCCCGAGGUUGCGCACUUGGUUGACCAAGGUCUUGAGCCGGUUGUACAUGACUUGUGGCUCCUCUCCUUGGUUGAGGAUGAAUCGACCGAGCUUCUCCUCGAUCGUAUCCCGCUUGGUGAUCUUGGUCACAUCAUCUCCUUCGUGUGCGGUCUUUAGCAUGUCCCAAAUCUCUUUGGCACUCUUCAACCCUUGCACCUUAUUAUACUCCUCUCGACAUAGAGAGGCGAGGAGUAUAGUAGUGGCUUGGGAGUUGAAGUGCCAGAUUUGGGCGACCUCGUCCGAGUCAUAGCCUUCAUCCCCCAUGGAUGGUACCUGCGCUCCAAACUCAACAAUGUCCCAAAUGCUAGCGUGGAGUGAGGUUAGAUGAUGCCUCAUUUCAUCACUCCACAUACAAUAAUCUUCACCAUCAAAAACCAGUGGUUUGCCUAAUGGGACAGAAAGUAAAGGAGUACAUUUAGAAAUGCAAGAAUAGCGUAGGGGGAUCUUACUAAACUUUUUGCGCUCAUGGCGCUUAGAAGUGAUGGAAGGAGUGUUGGUGCCGGAGGUGGAGGGCGACGAAGAAUCGGUCUCGUAGUAGACCACUUUCUUCAUCUUCUUCUUGUCGCCACUCUGGUGCGACUUGACGCGGGGAGGUGAUUCCUCCCUUCCUUUGGCGCCAGACUCCUUUGAUGGAGCCUUCCCGUGGCUUGUGGCCGUUUCCAUCUCCCUCUUGGCGGAUCCUCCCGACAUCACUUCGAGUUGUUAGACUCUAAUGAAGUAUCGGGCUCCGAUACCAAUUGAAAGUCGCCUAGAGGGGGGUGAAUAGGCGGAAACUGAAAUUUACAAACUUUAAGCACAACUACAAGCCGGGUUUAGCGUUAGAAAUAAAAUCAAGUCCGAAAGAGAGGGGAAAACAAAUCAACCAGAGAAAUAUAGCAGAUGACACGGUGAUUUGUUUUACCGAGGUUCAGUUCUUGAAAACCUACUCCCCAUUGAGGUGGUCACAAAGACCGGGUCUCUUUCAACCCUUUCCCUCUCUCAAACAGUCACUUAGACCGAGUGAGCUUUCUCCUUAACCAAACGGGUCACUUAGACCCCUACAAGGACCACCACAACUUGGUGUCUCUUGCUUUGAUUACAAGUGUCUUGAGAACAAGAAUGGGGAAGAAGAAAGCACGAUUGCAAAAGCCAAGCGACAAGAGCGAUAGAUAACACAUGGAUCACUUUCUCUCUCAAGUCUCUAAUCACUAAUGAUCACUUGUCUCAAUUGUGGAACUUGGAGAGAUUAGAAGCUUUGAUUGUGUCUUUGAAUGGACUACUAGCUCUUGUAUUGAAUGUGAAAGAUUGGAGUGCUUGGGUGAAGUGAAUGGAGGUAGUUGGGGUUGUAUUUAUAGCCCCCAACCACUUCCUAGUUGUUGCUCCUUUUCUGCCGACCGCGGACGGUCCGCGCCCCUGGUCCGGACGGUUCGCCCCUGCACAUCAACGGCUGAAAUCGCAACGGUCAGCAGUAACGGCUAUAUCAACGGCUAUAUAGCAUUUAAUGUGUCGUUAGAUGUCAGAUAAAGGCAGUCGCGGACGGUCCGGUCGUGCACCCCGGACGGUCCGCGAGGACGCUAUAAUUCAUUUUACCGAACCCGUCACCUUCGGGUUUUUUGGUUCUGCGCCGACCGGACGGUCCGCGCCUGAGGCCGGACGGUCCGCGCUUGGUCUCGAACGGUGCUUGCUUUUCCAUCGGACGGUCCAUAGUGUAGACUUGUGUUUUGCAUUGGUUCUGUCCGAGGGUCAUCCUGGUGUCGCGGAUGGUCCGCCGCAAGGGCCCGGACGGUCCGCGCUUAGUCUGUUUUUCCAAAAAGCUUCUCCUGUCCGGAAUAAUCUACGGUAUUCCAGACAGUCGAUUUAUAUUAGUUGUAGAUGAACUUAUGCACCUGUGGAAUGAUCAACUAGACAAACUGGUUAGUCCACAAGGUUUGUGAUGGUCGUCAAACACCAAAAUCGAUUAUAGGAAAUGUUGAGACUAUUUCCAUUUCAAAAACCACUCUUGCCCUUGAACCCGACGGGGACCCAAAACCCAAUGGGGACCUCAAACCUAUAGGAAGCCAAGGCAGGGAGGGGGAGCCCAUCGCCCACCGCACUAAGGAGUAGGGCACGAAGGAGGGAGAGCCAUGAAGUAGGGGAUUAGGCCAGGGAGUGAGGCACCGGGUUAGAGAGCGAGUGCCACCAUGUCGGGGAGCUAGGCAAAGGGAGUAGGGCACCAAGCUUAGGAGUGAGGCACCAGGGAGGAUGGUGCCAGGGAGGGCGAAAUGGGGAGCAGAGCUUUGGGUUAGGGUGAGUGGCAUUGGGCUAGAGAGUAGAGCACCACCACAUCAGGGAGCUCCUUGGGUCCCUAUGGAACUCAUCAGUGGGAGUUAAAACCCACCUCGCACUCGGUGUUCCUCGGGUCCCUAAACCCGCAGACCCAUAGGGGGGACUAGUCUUCUGCCCCCGUCGAGUCUAAGACCUGCAGGGACCCGCCACGUUGCCAACCCCUACAUGUACAUCAUCGUAAGGAGAAGAAGCCACCUACUAAAUCAUUCACUCAUGAUUUGAUUUGUGAACAUGAGUUCUUGACAAAAAACAUCUCUUGCAUAAGUGAUCUAGGACAAAGAUUCACACCAUACCUUCAAUUUAUAUGGUCUAUUGGAGCUACUAGCUCAAGGGUUUGCUAACAAAAAAAUAGUACAAACUAGUUAUAUCUAAUGUACUUGUGCUAUCUAUGAGGAGUUUGAUAUGUUGUCAAAAGGGACUAUUAGCAAGUUGGGUGAUAGUGAUAACAAGGAAGGUCAUGCCACAACUUGUGUGGGUCUUGGGAGAUAGAUGGCCAUUGGGGCAAGUGGAGUUUAGCACAAAUCAUUUUAUAGGUUGUGAGUUGUUCGAAGAAGUGGCUCACAAAGUUCUGUGGGUUGAGUACCAACUAUAGGAUGUUAGUUUUGGCCAUCAAUUAUUAAAACAAGGGGAUAAGAAAUGCACAAAUAACAAGAAGACAAAAUAGAUGCUUAAGAUUGAUGGAUUAUUAUUACUUCUAGGGCAUGCUAUUGAUACUUCAUAUCAAGACUUUGAAGAAAUGAUGUGCUCUCAAAUAUGUCUAAAGUUGCUAAAAAUUUACUAGGUAGACCUAGGAGUAAUAUUGCACAUAUGACUAAAAAAUCUCAUCCUAGAGAAGAAUUGGUUUUAGUCUAACACGUAGGCCAAACAAAAGAUUGGUAUUUCAUUAGAUGGUGACAUUAUUGGUGCUCCUUAACGUAUCUUAUUCAACCACCAACAUGAUGUGGAAUUGUAACUCUUAUGCAUAGCAAAAUAGUUACUGGACUUAUUCUGAUGAGUUCCACAAGACUUAUUCAAAACUUCAAUGCAAAGAUUACAUCAGAAAAAAUUUAACCAAUUCGGCCCCAAAUGGAGGGUCAUCGAUGCUAGGGGGUUACUUAACCUACAUUGUGACCACUGACGCAUUCUAUAUCAUAAAUAUGCAAGGAAGCACACUUAGAAAUGGUGUGGAAUGUUGAAUCAAUGCUAGUUUCGUCAAGGAGGCCGACUAUGGCUCACAUGGAUAAAAGGGCCCACACCAUCCAUGCAAGCAAACACAAACUCACACAAUCCCCACUAUCAUGGUUCUGUUCACAUCAUAGAUUAGGAACAUGUUGAAGAUCAAAUGAAAUGGGAUAUCUCCAGGUCGCCAGACCUACAUUGGGUUGGUUGGUUAUAAUAAUCUGAUGUUAUAAAUAUGAAUGAAUUUUUUCUAGAAAUUUGGUCAAACUUUAAAAAUAACUUAAAACAACUCUAAAAUCUAUUUUAAAAAAACUCUAGAAUAUAUUUAUUUAAGAAGAGUAGUAUUUUUGUUUCUGCGUAGAAAUGUGUUCUCUACUCCCAUUGUUGCCUACUACAUUCGUCCAAUUAGCAGUCAUUGAUAUCGGACAACAGAAAUUUCUAUAUAUUAAAGUGGGACGCAAACAUGCGCCAUUGUUCGUCCACGUCGGCUUUUGAAACACUAGUCGUUCGAUACUGCCUCAACGGCAAGGGAAGCACUGCCCCAACGACAAGGAAAGCACGAGCACAACACAAAAGGGAGUCAAAGCGAUACGACUAGAAUUCCUCACUCGUCACCAGAUGUGUUUAGAGACUUCUAGGCCGUCUCCACAUAUUGGUGCAGCAGUGGAUUUUGCAAUACUAAAAAGUGAAAGGGAAAUGUGCCCUUGGGCCAUUUCUAAGUAUUUUGGUGAUUGAGUGUCAACACAAGUGCUUAAAUGUGAAUCUAUGCCCAUGGAUGAACAAAGUGCAAAUCUAGAGCAAAGGUAUGUUUCUAAGUCUUAGUACAUUGGUUUUGUGUACUAAUAUACUUGUCUAAGUAUCAGAAACAGGAAGAAGAAGAAAAGAGGAGAGUUGGCUGUGUACAGCCAAAAGGCUGUUUCGGUCUGGGGCACCGGACUGUCCGGUGGUGCACCGGACAGUGUCCGGUGCGCCAGGCUGCCUCGGGCUAACUGGCCGCUCUCGGGAGUUGACUGGUGACGUACGGCUAAAAUUCACCGGACUGUCCGGUGUGCACCGGACUGUCCGGUGAGCCAACGGUCGGCCAGGCCAACGGACGGCCGCGCGAUCUGCGCGGGACACGUGGCCGAGCCAACGGUCGGAAGGGGGCACCGGACUGUCCGGUGCACCAACGGCUCCCAUAUCUCCAACGGUCGACUGCGCUGUUUAAGGAAGGAAAUCGGGCACCGGACAGUGUCCGGUGUGCACCGGACUGUCCGGUGCGCCCGACGACAGAAGGCAAGGAUGGCCUUCUGGAUUUGUUCUCAACGGCUCCUAGCUGCCUUGGGGCUAUAAAAGGGACCCCUAGGCGCAUGGAGGAGUACACCAAGCAUUCCUACAACAUUCCUAAGCACCAAGACAUCGAUCUCACGCAUUCGUUUCAUUGUGAUAGCAUCUAGAGCUCUUGUUGAGUUGCGAACUCUUUGAGUUGUGUUGCGAGCUCUUGUUGCGUCUUGUGUGCGUUGCUCAUUCCCCCUUUGCUCUGUGUUCUUUGUGAACUUCAAUUGUAAGGGCGAGAGGCUCCAAAUUGUGGAGAUUCCUCGCAAACGGGAUUGAGAAAAAGCAAGCAAAACACCGUGGUAUUCAAGUGGGUCUUUGGACCGCUUGAGAGGGGUUGAUUGCAACCCUCGUCCGUUGGGACGCCACAACGUGGAGUAGGCAAGCGUUGGUCUUGGCCGAACCACGGGAUAAACCACUGUGUCAUCUCUGUGAUUGAUCUCUUGUGGUAUUGUGUUUUGUUGAGACUCCUUUCUAGCCACUUGGCAUUUAUUGUGCUAACACUUAACAAGUUUUUGUGGCUAUAAGCUUAAGUUUUACAGGAUCACCUAUUCACCCCCCCCCCCUCUAGGAGCUCUCAAUUGGUAUCGGAGCCGUUCUCUUCAAGAAAGGGACUAACCGCCCGAAGAGAUGGAUCCUAAGGGGAAGGGAAUCGUGAUCAACGACAAGGAAAAGGAGUCCUUCGUCAACGAGCCAAAAGAUGACAAAUCCAACGACUCUGGCUCGGGCCACAGACGUAAAGAUGGGAAGAAGAAGAAGACAAGACGUAUCAAGGAGAUCGUCUACUACGACAGCGACGAGUCUACUUCUUCCCACAAGGACGACGACUACGACAAACAAAAGACGGUUAACUCAAACUUUUCUUUUGAUUAUUCGCGCAUUCCGCACAGCUCAAAUGCUCAUUUGCUCCCCAUUCCACUUGGCAAGCCUCCUCACUUUGAUGGAGAGGACUACGGAUUUUGGAGUCACAAAAUGCGUACACACCUAUUUUCUCUCCAUCCAAGCAUUUGGGAGAUUGUGGAAAGUGGAAUGAAAUUUGAUAGCUCGGAUAGUCCUUCGUUUAUUAAUGAACAGAUCCAUAAAAAUGCACAAGCUACUACUGUGUUGCUAGCCUCUUUGUGCAGGGACGAGUAUCACAAGGUGAGCGGCUUGGACAAUGCCAAGCAGAUUUGGGACACCCUCAAGAUCUCUCAUGAGGGGAAUGAUGUCACCUUACUCACCAAGAUGGAGUUGGUGGAGGGCGAGCUCGGACGAUUCGCGAUGAUAAGGGGCGAGGAGCCGACGCAAACAUACAACCGGCUCAAGAUUCUUAUCAACAAAAUAAGGAGCUACGGAAGCACGCGAUGGACGGAUCACGACAUCGUCCGCCUAAUGCUAAGGUCAUUUACCGUUCUUGAUCCUCAUCUCGUGAACAAUAUUCGUGAGAAUCCCAGGUACACGAAGAUGACGCCCGAGGAGGUACUCGGAAAAUUCGUAAGCGGGAGGAUGAUGAUCAAGGAGGCAAGAUACGUGGACGACGCCUUGAAUGGACCGAUCAACGAGCCUCAACCCCUUGCUCUCAAGGCAACAAGAAGCAAGGAGGCACUACCUAGCAGGGUGGCACAAAUUAAGGCGGCCGGACUUAAUGAUGAAGAGAUGGCCCUCAUCAUCAAAAGAUUCAAGACGGCGCUUAAAGGUCGCAAGGGACAGCCAAGCAAGACCAAAGCCAAGGGGAAGCGUUCGUGCUUCAAAUGCGGUAAGCUUGGUCAUUUUAUUGCUAACUGUCCCGACAAUGAUAGUGAUUAGGACCAAGGGAACAAGAGGGAGAAGAAGAAGAAUUAUAAGAAGGCAAAGGGCGAGGCUCAUCUUGGCAAGGAGUGGGAUUCGGACUGCUCCUCGUCUGACUCCGACAAUGAGGGACUCGCCGCCACUGCAUUCAACAAGUCAUCCCUCUUCCCCAACGAGCGUCACACUUGCCUCAUGGCAAGAGAGAAGAAGGUAAUCACUCGUAAUGAUGCCACUUAUGAUUCUUCUAGUGACGAUGAGUCUAGUGAUGAUGAAAUAGAUUACUCUAGUUUGUUCAAGGGAUUGGAUAGAAAUAAAAUUGAUAAAAUCAAUGAAUUGAUUGAUGCCUUUAAUGAAAAGGAUAGACUUUUAGAAAAGCAAGAGGAUUUGUUGUAUGAUGAACAUGAUAAGUUUGUAGAGGCACAAAAAUCCUAUGCUUUAGAAGUUAAAAGAAAUGAAGUGCUUUCUAGUGAAUUAUCUUCUUGUCAUGAAAACAUUGCUACUUUAAAGAGUGUUAAUGAUGACUUAAAUGCUAAACUAGAAGUAGCUAGUAAAUCAACAUCUUGUGUAGAAAUUGUUGAAACGUGCACUAGGUGUAAAGAUCUUAAUGUUGAUGCUUGUAGUAAACAUCUAGUUUCAAUUUCUAAAUUGAAUGAUGAAGUGGCUAGUCUUAAUGCUCAACUUAAGGCUAGCAAAAGCGAAUUUGAUAAGCUAAAAUUUGCAAGGGAUGCCUACACGAUUGGUAGACACCCCUCAAUUAAGGAUGGACUUGGCUUCAAAAGGGAAGCCAAGAACUUAACAAGCCAUAAGGCUCCCAUUCCCGCUAAGGAGAAAGGGAAGGCCCCUAUGGCUACUAGUGCUAAAAAGAACCAUGCCUUUUUGUAUCAUGAUAGGAAAAAUUCUAGAAAUGCUUUUAGAAGUUAUGAUGCUUUUGAUUCACAUACGUAUGAUUCUUGUGCUAUGACUGCUUCUAGUUCUCAUGUUAUGCAUGAUAGAAAGGUUGGUAGGAGAAAUGUUGUUAAUGCUCAUAGGAAAGUUCAUGGACCUUCUACAAUUUAUCAUGCCCUAAAUGCUUCCUUUGCUAUUUGUAGAAAGGAUAGGAAGAUAGUUGCUAGGAAGUUAGGGGCAAAAUGCAAGGGAGACAAAACUUGCAUUUGGGUCCCUAAGGAUAUUUGCACUAACCUUGUAGGACCCAACAAGAGUUGGGUACCUAAGUCCCAAGCCUAAAUUUACCUUGCAGGUUUAUGCAUCCGGGGGUUCAAGCUGGAUUAUUGAUAGCGGAUGCACAAACCAUAUGACGGGGGAGAAGAAGAUGUUCACCUCCUACGUCAAGAAUAAGGAUUCCCAAGAUUCAAUUAUAUUCGGUGAUGGGAAUCAAGGCAAGGUAAAAGGGUUAGGUAAAAUUGCAAUUUCUAAUGAGCACUCCAUAUCUAAUGUGUUUUUAGUAGAGUCUCUUGGAUAUAAUUUGCUAUCUGUUAGUCAACUAUGCAACAUGGGGUAUAACUGUCUAUUUACAAAUAUAGAUGUGUCUGUCUUUAGAAGAAGUGAUGGUUCACUAGCUUUUAAGGGUGUAUUAGACGGCAAACUUUAUUUAGUUGAUUUUGCAAAAGAAGAGGCCGGUCUAGAUGCAUGCUUAAUAGCUAAGACUAGCAUGGGCUGGCUGUGGCAUCGCCGCUUAGCACAUGUGGGGAUGAAGAACCUUCACAAGCUUCUAAAGGGAGAACAUGUGAUAGAUUUAACUAACGUGCAUUUCGAAAAAAGAUAGACCUUGUGCAGCUUGUCAAGCAGGUAAACAAGUGGGAGGAGCACAUCACAGCAAGAAUGUGAUGACCACUUCAAGACCCCUGGAGCUGCUGCAUAUGGACCUCUUCGGACCUGUCGCCUAUCUGAGCAUAGGAGGGAGUAAGUAUGGUCUAGUUAUUGUUGAUGACUUUUCCCGCUUCACUUGGGUGUUCUUUUUGCAGGAUAAGUCUGAAACCCAAGGGACCCUCAAGCGCUUCCUCAGGAGAGCUCAAAAUGAGUUUGAGCUCAAGGUGAAGAAGAUAAGGAGCGACAACGGGUCCGAAUUCAAGAAUCUUCAAGUGGAGGAGUUCCUUGAGGAGGAAGGGAUCAAGCACGAGUUCUCCGCUCCCUACACACCACAGCAAAAUGGUGUGGUAGAGAGGAAGAACAGGACGCUAAUCGAUAUGGCGAGAACAAUGCUUGGAGAAUUCAAGACCCCCGAGUGUUUUUGGUCGGAAGCCGUGAACACGGCUUGCCACGCCAUCAACAGGGUCUACCUUCAUCGCCUCCUCAAGAAGACUUCGUAUGAGCUACUAACCGGUAACAAACCCAAUGUAUCUUACUUUCGUGUAUUUGGGAGCAAGUGCUACAUUCUAGUGAAGAAAGGUAGAAAUUCUAAGUUUGCUCCCAAAGCUGUAGAAGGGUUUUUGUUAGGUUAUGACUCAAAUACAAAGGCGUAUAGAGUCUUCAACAAAUCAUCGGGUUUGGUUGAAGUCUCUAGCGACGUUGUAUUUGAUGAGACUAAUGGCUCUCCAAGAGAGCAAGUUGUUGAUUGUGAUGAUGUAGAUGAAGAAGAUGUUCCGACGGUCGCUAUACGAACCAUGGCGAUUGGAGAAGUGCGGCCACAGGAACAAGAUGAACGAGAUCAACCUUCUUCCUCAACUAUGGUGCAUCCCCCAACCGAAGAUGACGAACAGGUACCUCAAGUGGAGGCGCUUGAUCAAGGGGGAGCACAAGAUGAUCAAGUGAUGGAGGAAGAAGCGCAACCGGCACCUCCAACCCAAGUUCGAGCGAUGAUUCAAAGGGAUCAUCCCGUCGACCAAAUUCUGGGUGACAUUAGCAAGGGAGUAACUACUCGAUCUCGAUUAGUUAAUUUUUGUGAGCAUUACUCCUUUGUCUCUUCUAUUGAGCCUUUCAGGGUAGAGGAGGCCUUGGUAGAUCCGGACUGGGUGUUGGCCAUGCAGGAGGAGCUCAACAACUUCAAGCGCAAUGAAGUUUGGACACUGGUGCCUCGUCCGAAGCAAAAUGUUGUGGGAACCAAGUGGGUGUUCCGCAACAAACAGGACGAGCACGGGGUGGUGACGAGGAACAAGGCUCGACUUGUGGCAAAAGGGUAUGCCCAAGUCGCAGGUUUGGACUUUGAGGAGACGUUUGCUCCUGUGGCUAGGCUAGAAUCAAUUCGUAUCUUGCUAGCAUAUGCCGCUCACCAUUCUUUCAGGUUGUACCAAAUGGAUGUGAAGAGCGCUUUCCUCAACGGGCCAAUCAAGGAGGAGGUGUACGUGGAGCAACCCCCUGGCUUCGAGGAUGAACGGUACCCCGACCACGUGUGUAAGCUCUCUAAGGCGCUCUAUGGACUUAAGCAAGCCCCAAGAGCAUGGUAUGAAUGCCUUAGAGACUUUUUAAUUGCUAAUGCUUUCAAGGUUGGGAAAGCCGAUCCAACUCUUUUUACAAAGACAUGUGAUGGUGACUUGUUUGUGUGCCAAAUUUAUGUCGAUGACAUAAUAUUUGGUUCUACUAACCAAAAGUCUUGUGAAGAGUUUAGCAGGGUGAUGACGCAGAAGUUUGAGAUGUCGAUGAUGGGCGAGUUGAACUACUUCCUUGGGUUCCAAGUGAAGCAACUCAAGGACGGCACCUUCAUCUCCCAAACAAAGUACACGCAAGAUCUGCUAAAGCGGUUUGGGAUGAAGGACGCCAAGCCCGCAAAGACUCCGAUGGGGACCGACGGACACACCGACCUCAACAAAGGAGGUAAGUCCGUUGAUCAAAAAGCAUACCGGUCAAUGAUAGGUUCUUUGCUUUACUUAUGUGCUAGUAGACCGGAUAUUAUGCUUAGCGUAUGCAUGUGUGCUAGAUUUCAAUCCGAUCCUAAGGAGUGUCACUUAGUGGCGGUGAAGCGAAUUCUUAGAUAUUUGGUUGCUACGCCUUGCUUCGGGCUCUGGUAUCCAAAGGGGUCUACCUUUGACUUAGUUGGAUACUCAGACUCCGACUAUGCUGGAUGUAAGGUCGAUAGGAAGAGUACAUCGGGAACGUGCCAAUUCUUAGGAAGGUCCCUGGUGUCAUGGAACUCUAAGAAACAAACCUCCGUUGCCCUAUCCACCGCUGAGGCCGAGUACGUUGCCGCAGGUCAGUGUUGCGCGCAACUACUUUGGAUGAGGCAAACCCUCCGGGACUUUGGCUACAAUCUGAGCAAAGUCCCACUCCUAUGUGACAAUGAGAGUGCUAUCCGCAUGGCGGAGAAUCCUGUUGAGCACAGCCGCACAAAGCACAUAGACAUCCGGCAUCACUUUUUGAGAGACCACCAGCAAAAGGGAGAUAUCGAAGUGUUUCAUGUUAGCACCGAGAACCAGCUAGCCGAUAUCUUCACUAAGCCUCUAGAUGAGAAGACCUUUUGCAGGUUGCGUAGUGAGCUAAAUGUCUUAGAUUCGCGGAACCUGGAUUGAAUUGUAGCAUACAUGUAUUUAUGCUUUUGAUCAUGUUCCUUUUUGCAUUUUGUUGCUUAUUAUGGUGCUCAAGUUGUACAAACACUCCCUGGACCUCACAAGUCCGUUGCAAAGUGAUGCACAUGUUUAGGGGGAGAUGUGUUACAACUUGACCCUUUGAGACUAACCAUGUGCUUGAGUUUGAUGAUUUAGUCUCGAAGGAGGAUUGAAAGGGAAAAGGUGGACUUGGACCAUGAAAGACUUCCACUGCACUCCGAUGAGAGGGUAACUUAUUCCAAGUUCAUCUUUAGACUCUUAUUGCCUUUGUGUUCUCAUUUGAAGAUUUUGGUAAGGCAAUAGGGUUAAAAGGGCCAAGAUUGAUCCCGUUUUGGUGCUUGAUGCCAAAGGGGGAGAAAAUAAAGGCCAAAGCGAUAAAUGGAUCAGCUACCACUUGAGAGAUUUUGAAAAUAGUAGAAUAGAGUUUUUGUUUUGUUAAACUCUUUUAUUGUCUCUUAUUGUCUCUCUUGUCAAAAGUUGGCCUCUUGUGGGGAGAAGUGUUGAUUAUGGGAAAUAGGGGGAGGUUUUGAAAUCUUUGAUCAAUCUCUUUUGGAAUGACUCUCUUUAUGCUUCAACAAGUGGAUUUGACUUAGAGAUAGAAUUUUGAGUUUGAUUUGCAAAAACAAACCAAGUGGUGGCAAAGGAUGAUCCAUAUAUGCCAAAUUGAAUCAAAAUAAAUUUAAGUUUUUAUUUGAAGUGAUAUUGCACUUGUUCUAGUUGCUUUAUGUUGUGUUGGCAUAAAUCACCAAAAAGGGGGAGAUUGAAAGGGAAAUGUGCCCUUGGGCCAUUUCUAAGUAUUUUGGUGAUUGAGUGUCAACACAAGUGCUUAAAUGUGAAUCUAUGCCCAUGGAUGAACAAAGUGCAAAUCUAGAGCAAAGGUAUGUUUCUAAGUCUUAGUACAUUGGUUUUGUGUACUAAUAUACUUGUCUAAGUAUCAGAAACAGGAAGAAGAAGAAAAGAGGAGAGUUGGCUGUGUACAGCCAAAAGGCUGUUUCGGUCUGGGGCACCGGACUGUCCGGUGGUGCACCGGACAGUGUCCGGUGCGCCAGGCUGCCUCGGGCUAACUGGCCGCUCUCGGGAGUUGACUGGCGACGUACGGCUAAAAUUCACCGGACUGUCCGGUGUGCACCGGACUGUCCGGUGAGCCAACGGUCGGCCAGGCCAACGGACGGCCGCGCGAUCUGCGCGGGACACGUGGCCGAGCCAACGGUCGGAAGGGGGCACCGGACUGUCCGGUGUGCACCGGACAUGUCCGGUGCGCCAACGGCUCCCAGAUCUCCAACGGUCGACUGCGCUGUUUAAGGAAGGAAAUCGGGCACCGGACAGUGUCCGGUGUGCACCGGACUGUCCGGUGCGCCCGACGACAGAAGGCAAGGAUGGCCUUCUGGAUUUGUUCUCAACGGCUCCUAGCUGCCUUGGGGCUAUAAAAGGGACCCCUAGGCGCAUGGAGGAGUACACCAAGCAUUCCUACAACAUUCCUAAGCACCAAGACAUCGAUCUCACGCAUUCGUUUCAUUGUGAUAGCAUCUAGAGCUCUUGUUGAGUUGCGAACUCUUUGAGUUGUGUUGCGAGCUCUUGUUGCGACUUGUGUGCGUGUUGUUGCUCUGAUCUUUUGAAGUCUUGUGUGCGUUGCUCAUUCCCCCUUUGCUCUGUGUUCUUUGUGAACUUCAAUUGUAAGGGCGAGAGGCUCCAAAUUGUGGAGAUUCCUCGCAAACGGGAUUGAGAAAAAGCAAGCAAAACACCGUGGUAUUCAAGUGGGUCUUUGGACCGCUUGAGAGGGGUUGCUUGCAACCCUCGUCCGUUGGGACGCCACAACGUGGAGUAGGCAAGUGUUGGUCUUGGCCGAACCACGGGAUAAACCACUGUGUCAUCUCUGUGAUUGAUCUCUUGUGGUAUUGUGUUUUGUUGAGACUCCUUUCUAGCCACUUGGCAUUUAUUGUGCUAACACUUAACAAGUUUUUGUGGCUAUAAGCUUAAGUUUUACAGGAUCACCUAUUCACCCCCCCCCCUCUAGGAGCUCUCAAAAAGGUACCCUUCUUUGUCAUGUUUUUCCAUAACAACAAUCCAAGUUUUAUGCCUUUUCAUUUGCUAACCAAACAAAAUAGAAUUUGUCGUUUGUGUUUCACUAGAUAACAAUAUCCAUAUACAAUGUAUGCUAUUGUGCACAGCCUUAUAUAUGUAUGCAUGUUCAUUCCUUCGGGGAUAGUUUGUGUGUAUAUAACAAUCCAACUUCAAAUAUUGAAUAACUAGCAAUCAUAUUUUACCAAACUCUAUUUUUUUGUUCCAUAAACCAAGUAUUGAAUCUAUUCAGUUGUUCUAUCUUUGGUACAUAUAUAGUCUACAGUAUAUACAAAUAUCUGUGUUUUACACGCACGCGGAGCGCACAUCAGUUACUAGUUCAUAAUUGUUUAUCAGUAUAUGCAAUAUUCUCAGUUUGAUUCCAUAGGAGACGAAAAGGGCAAAUGGGCCACAUCCACAAGGAAAACGUUGGUGCUCUUUUAGACCGAUCAUCUAACGAACCCUGGACCUCACCUGCUAGGAGCGAGGGCUUGAGAUCCUCUCUGCGGAAGUGUGGGCCGUCUGCGAUAGGCAAUCAGACCGUCCAUGAUAGGACAGCGAACUGUCCGCAUGUGCACAUUGGGCUUCGAGAUCUCCUUCAUCACCUGAAUCUCGCCUUCUGGGAGAGACCCCGUCAGGAAGAAAAGAUCCUAGUGUUGUCUUAGUAUCGGCGGGCCAUUCAAGACACAUCUAAAUGAUGUAGAGUCGAGAAGAGGUUAAGAUUGGGGAUGUGAAAGACUAAUUAUCGUUACCCCUAAAGAAAAAAUGUAAAGGAACCGGUAAACAAAUUGAUUGGAUCGAUUAUGUUACCCUUAAUCGAUCGUACCUCUAUAUUUAUAGAAAAGGUCUGAACCUGUUUCUAGACGUUUUCCAACAGAUUUCUGUGUGAUUAGCCAGAUAAGCACACGCAGAAAAAAAACUUUCGUGGGAAAAAAAAUCUUUCGCCUAAGUUAAUCUAAUCACAAAUCGUUAGUCUAUACUCUCGUACCAUCUAGGACACACUAGACCGUUGGGCGGUGCCCAAAUAUCAAACCUGUUGCUCAACGGACGGCAGAGUAUGCCAGCCUACUGUGCAGAGCCGACGAGGCAAAGGGCGAUCAAUGUGUAUUAUCUAUAUUGUUACCAUCACGUCUUGUGUGAAACUCUGUAAAAACAAUACUAGAAUCAAUGUGUAUCAUCUAUAUUGUUAUUUUGUAGAGAUUGACAUUUUAUAUUGUUGAGAUGCAACACAAUAUGGAUCUUAAUCUCGGCAAUAUUGUCGUGGAUCAUUUGCACUUGCAGAAUGAUGGUGUAAAAAAUAAAUUUUCUUAAUCACGAUGAAGCGUUAAAAAAAGCUUAUCCAAUCUGUUAACUAUAAUGCAUGCAUCUAUACACACUAGGCGGCAGGAGCCAUGGCAGCUAAAGGUAAAAAUCCAAGCAAUUAUUAGUCUAACUCAACCCCAUCAACUACCUAUUUGGCUGCACUCUACAAUAUCGUCGAUUUACUGCACAGGACUAGGCCGCCAGAGUCGAUCCUUUGUUUCUGCAUCCACGUCUCCAAGAGGAGAUCCUCACUCUGCCUUAAAUGCAAAUAGUCGUCGAUGUGAAACGACAAGGUUCGAGCAUAGUCAGACAAGCUGCUUCGGCAAAUCCCAACCUCACCAAAUCUGGUCAGUAAACUAUUUUUAGAGGCAACUGAUGAAGUGGCAUGGUCUCCAGGGCUCCAACUCCCACGGCUGCUCGCAGUCUGAUUGCUAGUGCUGCCUCUGGUACUUUCUCCCUGAGUUCAACAUGCAAUUAGAGAAAAGGUAACAUGUUGAAGUCAUUAACAACAACAAAAAAAUCACCUCAUCAUUUGACUCAGCAUCCCUACCCUACAAAUAUUACCUCUAUCUGCAAACGAAUGCAAUUCUAGGUGUAUUCUUGGUUAACUUGUCUAAAGCUUGACCAAAUAUAUAAGAAAAAUAUUAAUGUUUAUAACAUAAAUAAGUAUAGUAUGGAAACAUAUCUCAUGGAAAAAUCUAGUGACACUCACUUCGUCCCAAAUUAUAAGUCAUUUCAACUUUUUAAAGAGCCAGAGCAUCUCAAGUUUAACCAAAGUUAUAUAAUAAAAUUAUAAUAUUCAUGGUACCAAUUAAGUAUUGUUAGAUUCUUUAUUAAUUGUAUUAUCAUAGUAAUACCAGCUUUAUUUCAUAAGGUUGUUAACUCUCUCUAUAAUUUUGGUCAAACUUGAGAUGCUUAGGCUCUCCAAAAAGGUUAGAAUGACUUAUAAUUUGGAACAAAGGUAUACUUAUUUGAUAUUAUAGAUAUUAUAAUUUUUAUCUAUAGUUAGUCAAACUCAAGAUACUUUACCUUGGCAUUGUACUAGAAUUAUAUUCUUUGGACAGAAGGAGUAACAUUCAAUAUUUUACAUUUUAAGACAAGAAUUGAUACUAUUUCUGCAGAUAAACAGAUGUCAUCGUUACCUGGGCCUUGGUUUUGCACGGGGAGGUCUGAAAGUCAUUGGUAGUUUCCCAUUGCAGCCAGGGAAGGACAACGCCAUCUGCCUCUGCAGGUAAAGCAACUUCUGGGAGCUUAACUGGAGUUUCUGUCAUAGCAUGAAGUAACAACAGGUCUUUCCUGGUUGAACUUGAGUCACUUUUCUCUCCAUCAAAAGAAGAAAAGUCAGUGUCUUCAACAUUCGACAGGAAAUCUUCAAAGUAUUGUUCAGCCUCUUCAGUAAGUCGUUUUGACAUCCUUGAUCUAUCAUUGCUCCUCUGCAAUAAAUUCAUGUCAAAUUCUAAUUCAUAGAUGCACAUAAUUAACUGGAAAGUGGAAGCGAUGGAACGGCAACUAAAUAAACUUACUCUUCUGUAGUGUGGCUGUCUUUGUAAGUUUGCAGUCUUUUUAGGAGUAGGUAGCAAUUCUCUAACUAUUUUUGUGAGCUCAUGACCAUGGUGUUCUUCUGCUGCCAAUUGAGCUAACAGUUCCUGCUUCCGCUUCUCUGACUAAGAUACACAGAAAAGUAAAUGUGAGUAUUGAAUAAAGACUUAGAAACAAAACAAUCAAAGAUGUUUUUUACAAUAAGUAUAGCUUCUCUUCCCAAAAAAAGAUACCUCUUCCAAUUUACUAGUGUAGCUCCUUCGGAGCUGAGUAAUAACUUGGGUUGGUUGUGCAUCACUGUUUAUUGCCUUUUCUGAAGGUUCAGAUUUUGUCAUGGCCUAGAAAUGCACAGAUAAAGAGAUACAUGAGCUUGGAUAAAACAAUGUGAUUCUAGAAAGAAGUAUGCAUAGCAAGAAAAGGCCCAAAUAUUGAUCGUUUCCCCCCUAACAGGCAAACAAUGGCCUGACAAUGAAGUCUCAAUGGAAGACAUGUCAAUCCAAUAAAACACAUUUUUAAAUCUAGCUACAACUGUUUUAGUCAGAAAAUCUUCCAAUCAAACAGAUGUUUCUGCUGCCAGUAUGCCAUCAAGUUACUAUAGUUCUACUCAGCCUGACUGUUACUUAUCCAGAAACGAAUGUUAGUCCUCAUUGAACAGAAGUAUCCUGCACAUCCUUCAAUGAUGAUGUGAAGUUAUAGGCUUAGGAUCCAAAAGCAUGGAGACCAUUAAGUAUUGUUCGCAAGCAUACAAUGCAGAAGCAUAUAUCAGUGCUAACUUUGACAAAUUCAGCAUAAAACAAGAAUCACAAGUGAUGUACAAACUCUUCUGGGGUGUAUAUCCUCUACAACAGAACCGGAUCAUUAGCUUAUAUUCGCAUUACAUCAUACAAUACAUUUCCAUCUGUAAAAGAUACCUCUUCAAGCUGAUUCCUUAUUUCCUCAACAGCUUGCCUAACUUCUUUUCGCAUUACAUCGUACAAUACAUUUCCAGCCCCAUCAUCAAUUCCGUGCUCCUAUCAGAUUGCAAUAUAAGUGGCAAUUACCAGUAAACUCUAGUAGCUGUUUGCAAAUUCUAGUUUCAAAUUUAAAUACUAAAUGAAGAUUGUGAAAUCACCUUGUCAAGACCAUAAACUGCACAGACAGCCUUCUGAUUUCUGCUAUGGAAAGAGAGUGAACUCCUAGACUCAUCAUCAGUAAUUGAAGAAUGGCUCUGCAUAAUUAAAGGUAAAAAUACAAACUAAGAAAUUUCAUUCAUAAAACACAAUGAUUAGGUGAAUCUACAACAGUCCAUCGCACAGCCAAGAUUUAGUAUGCACCAAACAAAAGAUAGCACAGACCUAAUUCUAUUAUGCAUCUAUGAAUGGAACAUUAAAGUUAAUUGUACAAGCUGGUGCGAUGAUACUAUAGCACAACUUUUUUUAUAAGGAUGAUGCUAUUUGAUAUGUUAUCCAAUUUCAGUCCAAGGAAUAUAAAGAAGACAAAGGUACUCACGGAGCUGCUGUCUCUAGAAUGAAAGAAAUCCUUUUGACUUGUAGACCUCUUCAAAGCUUGAUUUGCUUUAGAUGGCUUAUGGAAUGAACUCUGCAGGCUAUUGCCACUGCUACUUUUGGUAUGCAUCCCCCUAGAAACAUACUGGUGAGGAACUUCCAUAUCAUUCUGCACCCAAAAAGAAUAAACCAGGGAUUAAAUAAAAAAAUGUAACUGCAACAGAUAUGUACAAUUUACAUCAAACACAGAAAUUGGACAAGUUUAGAAUAUAAGCAUUAUCUGGCAUUCGAAAGGAACAAACAUAAAAUACUUGAACAGGAAUGAUAUAGUGGAAGCACAGCAAAGUAUUAAUAAACUUGGAUUGAGUAACCUAACUUAUUGAAAAAGAAAACUAUAACGUGAGCAGGCUGAAGCAAAUCUGAAAAGCAGACUGGCAAGUAUAACUGCAUCACAAUCACACAGUUUUGCCUUUUGGCUUUUGAACUUGUGAAAUUAUUUUCGUACUAUAUUGCCAGACAGCAUCAGCAUAUUGAAGCUAGCAACAAACAGAGGGUACAAGGGGAUAUAGGCAUAAACAAAAACAACUGAAGAAACAAUAGAUGAUGCAAACACAGUAUUGCGCAUAUGUUACAUUACUGGAUACUAUACUGGUAUGAUGGUAUUAAGUUUGAAACACACUAUAAGCAAAGUAUAGAACUAAACCAAACUACAUUCGUGACCACACCACUCGUCAUAUGACCAUACCUUGAAGAAACAAACAGUAAAACAUAUCGGACCUCUAGUCGUACAUAAGAGAAGAAUCAAGAAUGUGUGGAUAAACACCGUUCUCCCUUCACAAUUUUGUCGCAAAAUGGAAACAAAAACUUCGCAGAUUAAUGGGACCACCCAAGCGCCCACAAAACAGGAUUCUAUAAUUAACAAGCAACUUUAAUAGUUUAAUCCAAAAUUCAGCCCAUCUCUAAACUAAAUGCACAGAAGAAAAACUAGAGUGCUGGACCGGCCACACUCACAUCCGAAUCGCACCACCGUUGUCGAUCCAUGGCAGCGCGCCGGUCGACCGACGCAUAACGCUGCCUCCUGGCUGCAGGGCCGCCAUCCACCGCAUUGGCCGCUACGCCUCGCCGCUCGGCUGGCGGCCGCGACACGGAGCGCCCGCGCUGCCGCGAAGACUCCGUCUGCCUAGCGUACCGCGCGGUGGAGCUCCGCCGACCGCCAGCGCCACCGCCCCCACGCUCUGCGGCCGCUGGAAGCCUUGACCGGCCGCGCGCAGCAGUCUCCUCGUCGUCGUCGUCCUCGGACUCGGCCCUGGCCCGGAAGAACUCGUCGGCGAGGUCGUCGAGGCUGACCUGCGGCGGGAAGACGCCGCCGCUUCCCCCGCCCCGCACCUUGUUGACGAACCUCGACGACGGCGUCGCCGUGUCCUCGGUGGAGGGCGACGGCGGCGGGAACCGGCUCAGGCUCUUCGACCGGCGGACGCUGCCUCCGCCGCGGCCCGCGGCCUGGCGCUCGCGAGUGGCGGAGCCCGCGUCCUCUACGGGCGCGAGAGCGUCGCCCCGCCUCGUCCCCGACCGGAACGCCGUAGCAGCAGCCAUCGCCGCCAGUGGCCGGAGCUAGGGUUCGGAGCUGCUAGGUGUUGGCCGCCGCCUCGCUCCCCUCCUUGUGACUUGUGAGCAGAGAGACGAGUAUUAUCAGAUAAUAAUAGAGACGGAAUUGGCAAUAGCAGUAGCUUCGAGUGCACCGAGCAGAAUUGAGACGCUUUUUGUUUCCAACUUUCCAUAUAUGCUGCAGUCUGUCAAACCCGAUGAAACAUGUGCACCGUGGAGGCGUGGACAAUACCUGGACCCAUAUUUCAUUGGUGCUGGCUGCUGGGCGGUGGGAGUAAUGAAUGCCUGGGUUUGCAGGUGCUGGUGAGUGAAUUUGAAUUUCAAACUUGCGGCCGUGUUUCAAGGGGAAUUUACGAGGCUCUACAACAGCAGGCAGGCAGUUGGCACACGGGAUCCUGGUAGUUGGUUGGGUGUCGUUGCACCGUGGCAGCGUGACGGACCACUGCCUGCAGCCUGCGUUGUUCUCUCCUCUCGCGGUCUCGCCGCUCGGCUCGACCGUGACCACCGAACACGGGACAAGUGAGACAAACAAACCAAAGCGGGCGGGCGUGCAUCGUGCGCUCCGCCGGCGCCGCUUGAACAGCUGCGGACUGCGGUGCUUCGACGCGGCCCAGGACGGGGAGGAGGGCUGGUCUAUUAGGCUAAUUUGGUUCGAUGUAUUUGGAUUUUUAAAAUUUCAGGUUCUGAAAAAUAAGAACCAAAAUUUUUUAAAAUAGUUUUAAGAACUGAACCUGAAUAUACCCAUAAUUUCGGUUCGUUCUAUUCGGUCCCCCGAAUGGACCCGAAUAGUAGAGAGACUAGUAUAUUUUGUUAAAAUAUAUACAAUAAAUAAUUAAUUGAAAGUACUAUUAUUAGAACAAGUGUCUAUAAAAAAUAGCAUACAGAGAUAUAUAUUAUCGUUAAGAUGAUAUCAUAAUUUUUAGUUAAUAAGUUCAUAAAUCAUAUAAUAAUAUCAUCACAUAUUAAGAGUUUUUUUUAAGUUCGAGUUAUUGGGUCUAUUCAGGUUUUAAAGGUUAGGAACCGAACUCGAACUUAUACCCCAAAAUAUAGCACAUAUAUGAACCGAACCUGAACCCGAAAACCCGGUUCGGGUUUAGGUUCAGGUUCAGAUUUCGGUUUUAAAAUACCCACCCGUAAUUGAGAGCCUAUGGGUUUUGGUUUCCGCGACACGGAUGGGCAAGCUGGCAGGAGUAUGCCGGAAAAAAACGAGCGGGAAAUUUUGAAACUUCUCUGGUGUAGUGCAGUGCUCUGCGCAAGGAUUGGAUCGUUUGUAACUGAGAACAUGUUUUAAGGGCUAAAACGGGUAUAGCGUCGGGUAUCGGAUAUAAUAAUCCAUUUUUCGGAUGCCGAUUUAGAUAUUUUUAUACUCAAGACAAAUAUAGUUACUACUUGGAUAGCGCACCUUCAUAUUCAGAUUGAAUAUCUGGUAUCCGUUUUUUCUUUUUCUAUGUAAUAUUGUUAUUAAUUCAUAAUUUUUGCAUAUGAACUCGGAUGAAUGUAAAGUUUAUAAGAAAAUUAUAGGGCUCAAAAAGAUCUACAACUUUAUAGCACAUCAUAUUUUUGUUUGAACACAUCUGCAUGUUGAAAUUAUUGAAACAGUGUCAAAAUUAUUGAAAUAGUGUCUAAAUUUAUACCAGACUAUUGUAAUUUGCUUAUUUUUUUAGAAAAAAUAAGGUAUUGGCGCCUCUAAUAACUUGCUCAGUAUAUUAUAUUUAUAUGUUUUUAUAUAUAUGCAUGAUAAUUAUGAUGGUAACAUAUGUAAACUAUCUUGUGAUGUAUUAGACUAUUGUGUGAUUCAAACCUUAUUAUUAUAUUCGAACUAUUGUGUUGGAUUAUCUUGUGUUGGAUUAGACUAUCUUAUGUCAUUUUAAAAUUAUCUUCUAUUGUAUUAGACUAUUAUGUGGUUCGAAUCUUGUUAUCAAAUUUGAAAUAUUGUGUUGGAGUAUUAUAUGAUCAAAAUUUAUUGUUAUAUUGUUAUGUUGAUCUAUAUUUUAUGCAACGCUCGUGUAUAAUUGUUUUUCACAAACUAAAUUAGAGUAAAUGAUAAGUGAUUCAUGCAUUAUCCGACAAGUAUUCGAUAUUCGAUCAAACAAUAUAUGUAUUUGUCACUUAUCUGCUCGAAUAAAUAUAUGGUCUCUGUAUUUGUAUUCGUAUUGUUUUUAACUAUUCGUAUCCGAAUCCGAUUAAAAUAUAAUAGGAUAGAAUAUGUCGGGGACUGUAAUUAGGGGUACCCCCAAUGCUCCUUAAUCCGGCUGGAAAACAUCUUCAGAACAAACCAUAAGCGACUAAUAAAGUGCAGGCCUCGUCUACCAAGGUGUAAGUGCAAUCAACCCUAAUUGAGGGUUUUGGUGAUUAAUGACAAAACAAACUAAGAUUCUAACAAGUUUGCUCCUAGUGUGUACACAGUAUUUUUACAGACAGGAGAAGCACAGAUCCUACGAGCAUAAAAGUAUAAAGCACAGCGGAUUUAAAUUUCCACAUCAAAUGGCGUGCUCCAAGUGCUAUGAAACGUCGGCGGUACUAAGUUUAAAAUUCUUGAAUCAUAGGAAUCGCCGUACAAUUAAGAGGGAUCCGCGACGGUUAAGUAAGUUGUGAAACGAGCCAAGUUCAAUUCUUUUGAAAACUCCUUUGAGAUCAUCUUUUCCAGAUCAUGAAUGCUCUUGAGAAAAACAAAUUUCACUUCCCACAAAGUCUCCACCUAAGUUCUCUUCAAAAUUCUCAAAGUUUGGUUUCAGCCCCCAAAACCGGUUCAACCGGUCCAGAAACCGGUUCAACCGGUUUUGGUACUGUUCAUCCUGCCACCUCUGCUCUGACCUGUCUGACAGUCAGAGCUGUCAGAAAAGUCGCAGCAGAUAUUUUUCUGAAACCGGUUGAGCCGAAAUUUGACCCUACUCAGCCGGUUUUGAAACCGGUCCAGUGUCCGGCUGAGUAGACCAGUGGACCGGGAUCCCCCUGGUAGAAACCGGUUCAACCGGUUUGAAAACCGGUUCAACCGGUUUUUUGCCCUUUUCCUCCCAACGGCUGCCAGCUUUUGGGGGAUCCUUUAUAUACCCCCUCACACUCUCUCUCUCAUCAACUUCUGUCUCUCCCAUGAAUCUUUGGCUGACCAACCCUCAAACAAGAGCAUUCACUUCACCUCUCACACCCGCAAUCGCAUCUCCUUCAAUCAUUUGAAGGACCCUUGGUGUGAGGUGAACUCGAUCGAACUCGCUGUCAAUUUCAUCUCGAUUCUCCCAUUCUCUUGUUCUUGAGCUCGUUGCAAACUUAACCGUGUGCGGAUUUGUUACUCUUGGAACCUCGUGUUCCUUGACGGUUAGAGGUUGCUUGGGAGUCUCCAAAUUUGUGGACAACCCCAAGAAGUUUGUAUCACCCGCUCCUUGAGCAGAUUUGAGAAGAGAUUGCCUUGACCUUUGUGGUCGGCUUGUGGAGGAUUAGGGUUGGAAAAGACCCGGCCCUUUGUGGGUUCCUCAACGAGGAGUAGGACACCUUUGUGGUGGUUGCCGAACCUCGGGUUAUAUCGCGUGUUCUUGUGUGUUCUUGUUAAGCUUUUCAUAUUCGGUGGUUGGUUCAUAUUAUUCAUUCAAGUAGUUCUUGUGUAGGGCAAAUCUUUAGCUAUUUUCUUUACUACUUCGAAUUUGUUCAAUAGAUUAUUAAAUUCAAGUUGAGUGGGUUCAAACUUGUUCAGUUGUGAUUAAAAUCGACUGAACCGGUUUGCACCUGUGCAACUUUAAUUUAACCUAUUUCGGAGUUUUUAGUGAAAAUUUUCAGGUAUAGCCUAUUCACCCCCCCUCUAGGCUACUUUCAAUUGGUAUCAAAGCUUCGUGCCUCGUUUUACGCUUAACCGCGUGAGGAAACGAUCAUGUCUACACAACGGGACCAUGUGGAUCCUCUUCUCGAGGAAAUCCCCGUCACAUCUACCGGUGAGGAAGUGGACCCCAAGGUCCUCGACCUCGCCAUGAAGAUUGCCGAGAAAAUGUUCCUCAAAAUGAAAGAGGAAGAUGCUAGGAAAAAGGCCGAAGAAGAGGAAACAAGAAGAAAGGCCGAAGAAGGUAAAGGUAAGGGAACAUUUGAUUAUAAUGACGAUCUAGUGGAUCUUUUGGUGUCUAAGGUAUUGAGCAAGGUAAGUCUCAACACCGAAGGAUCAUCUACCAAAAGCAAAGGUAAUGACUUUAGCAAAGUUCAAUUCGAUUACUCUAGAAAUUAUAUUCCCAACUUCUCUUCCGCCCCACUUGGAAAGUUACCAACUCUUAGUGAGUUGAACUAUGAUGAGUGGGCCGACAAGAUGAAGUCGCAUUUAAUCGGUGUGCAUCCUAGUCUUUGGGAGAUUGUUAAUGUAGGUAUGUAUAAGCCCGCCCAAGGAGAAGAGAUGACUCCGGAAAUGAUGCAAGAGGUUCAUCGAAAUGCUCAAGCAGUGAGCAUAAUCAAAGGUAGUCUUUGUCCGGAAGAAUACCGGAAAGUUCAAGGAAGAGAAGAUGCUCGUGACAUUUGGAACAUUCUUAGAAUGUCACAUGAAGGAGAUCCCAAAGCUAAAAGACAUAGAGUUGAAGCUUUGGAAAGUGAGCUUGCAAGGUAUGAUUGGACAAAGGGUGAGUCGCUCCAAUCACUCUUUGAUCGAUUGAUGGUAUUGGUCAACAAAAUAAGAGUACUUGGGAGUGAAGAUUGGAGUGACUCCAAGGUCACAAGAUUGUUCAUGAGAGCUUAUAAAGAGAAAGAUAAAAGUCUUGCAAGGAUGAUAAGGGAUCGUGAUGAUUAUGAGGACAUGACGCCUCAUCAACUAUUUGCAAAAAUUCAACAACACGAGUCCGAGGAAGCCCCCAUCAAGACAAGAGACUCUCAUGCCUUGAUCACAAAUGAACAAGACAAUCUCAAGAAGAGCAAAGACCACAAAGCAAAGAAAGUGGUCGAGACCUCAAGUGAUGAAGAUAGCUCAAGUGAUGAAGACACAGCUAUGUUCAUCAAAACUUUCAAGAAAUUUGUAAGGAAGAAUGACAAGUUCCAAAGGAAAGGAAAGAAGAGGGCAUGCUAUGAAUGUGGCCAAACCGGUCAUUUCAUAGCGGAUUGUCCUAACAAGAAGGAACAAGAAGCCAAGAAGGAAUACAAGAAGGAUAAGUUUAAAAAGGGAGGCAAGACCAAGGGAUACUUCAAGAAGAAGAAGUAUGGACAAGCUCAUAUUGGUGAAGAAUGGAACUCCGAUGAUGAGAGUUCUAGCUCCGAGGAAGAGGAAGUGGUGGCAAAUGUGGCCAUCCAAUCUACCUCAAGCGCGCAACUCUUCACCAACCUUCAAGACGACUCCUACAUUCCAACUUGCCUCAUGGCAAAAGGAGAUAAGGUAACUUUGUUUAGUAAUGAUUUUUCAAAUGAUGAUGAUGAUGAUCAAAUUGCCAUGAAAAAUAAAAUGAUUAAAGAAUUUGGCUUAAAUGGAUACAAUGUUAUCACAAAAUUAAUGGAAAAGCUAGAUAAAAGAAAGGCAACUCUUGAUGCUCAAGAAGACUUGCUUAUCCUUGAAAAGGAAAGAAACCUAGAGCUUCAAGAGUUGGUUCACAAUAAAGAUAUAGAAGUAAUUAACUUGAAAACCUCUAUUGAUAACCUUGCAAAUGAAAGGAAUGCACUUGAAUCAAGCAUGUUAAGCUUGAAUGUUCAAAAUCAAGAACUUCAAGUGCAACUUGAAAAUUGCAAGAACAUCAAUGCCCCCACUUUAGUAUUUGAAUCUAAGUCUAGCUCUAAUGAUAAUUCCUGCAAGCAUUGUGUCAAAUAUCAUGCUUCUUGUUGUCUAACUAACCAUGCAAGGAAGCAUAGCCCACAGGUGAAGGUCAAAGAAAUUUUGAAAAAAUGCACUAGCAAUGAUGGGUUAAAGAAAGUUGAACCCAAGUACAAGUCCCUUAAGCACAACAAUGGUAAAAGGGGGCUUGGGUUCAACUCAUCCAAGGAAAACCCUAGCACAGUGCAUAAGGGGUGGAGAUCCCCCAAGUUCAUAGAGGGAACCACUCUAUAUGAUGCCUUGGGGAGGAUCCACUCCUCAAAUGACAAGUCAUCUCAGGUAAAGGGUAACUUGAGUUCCACAAAGAGUAAGAUGAAGGAAGUGGGAUCCUUAAGUGGACAAAAAUCUAAUGCUCCCAUUUCCCACUCAUAUCUUUGUGAUUAUAUGUUGACUUGGGAUUCAGGGAAAUUGGUUGUGAAAUAUGUGGGUGCCUACACUAAACAAAAAGUCAUGAAAAGAAGUGUGUGGGUACCCAAGGCUAUAACUAACACUGUAGGACCCAAUUCAAUUUGGGUACCUAAAAGUAUAGCCUAAACUUGUUUUGCAGGUCUACUCCUCUGGUGGGUCAAGUUGGGUGCUUGACAGUGGAUGUACAAAUCACAUGACCGGGGAGAAAGACAUGUUUCAUACAUUGCAACUAACUCAAGAAGCACAAGAAAUUGUGUUUGGAGAUAGUGGCAAGAGUAAGGUGAUUGGUAUUGGUAAAAUUCCUAUCUCUGACCAACAAUCACUUUCAAAUGUUUUAUUAGUAGAUUCCUUGAGCUAUAAUUUGUUGUCUGUUUCACAACUUUGUGGAAUGGGUUAUAAUUGCUUAUUUUCGGAUGUGGAUGUGAAGAUCCUUAGAAGGGAGGACUCCUCAGUUGCCUUUACCGGUCGCUUGAAGGGCAAACUUUAUCUUGUUGAUUUCACAACAAGUAAAGUGACGCCUGAGACUUGUUUAGUGGCAAAAUCCGACAAGGGUUGGCUAUGGCAUCGCCGACUAGCUCAUGUCGGUAUGAGGAAUUUGGCCAAACUUCAAAAGGAUAAUCACAUCAUUGGACUAACAAAUGUUGUAUUUGAGAAAGAUAGGGUUUGUGGCGCAUGCCAAGCAGGAAAGCAACAUGGAGUCCCACAUCAAUCAAAGAAUGUGGUCACAACAAAGAGGCCAUUGGAGCUUCUUCACAUGGACCUCUUCGGACCUGUGGCCUACAUUAGCAUUGGUGGUAGUAAGUAUGGUUUAGUUAUUGUUGAUGAUUUUUCUCGAUUCACUUGGGUUUUCUUUUUGAGUGACAAAGGUGAAACUCAAGAAAUCUUAAAGAAAUUCAUGAGGAGAGCUCAAAAUGAAUUUGAGCUCAAAAUCAAGAAAGUGAGAAGCGAUAAUGGGACGGAAUUCAAGAACACAGGUGUCGAAGAAUUCUUAGGAGAAGAGGGAAUCAAGCAUGAGUUCUCGGUGCCUUACACUCCACAACAAAAUGGUGUUGUGGAAAGAAAGAACCGGACUCUAAUUGAAGCUGCAAGAACCAUGUUGGAUGAAUACAAGACACCUGACAACUUCUGGGCAGAGGCGGUCAACACCGCCUGUCAUGCAAUCAACCGCCUCUAUCUUCAUAAGAUCUACAAAAAGACUGCCUAUGAGCUUCUCACUGGUAACAAACCUAAAGUUGAUUAUUUUAGAGUAUUCGGUUGUAAAUGUUUUAUUCUUAACAAGAAAGUCAAGAGCUCAAAGUUUGCUCCUAGAGUGGACGAGGGUUUCUUGCUUGGUUAUGCAUCAAAUGCGCAUGGAUAUCGUGUUUUCAACAAUUCCACCGGUCUUGUUGAAAUAGCGAUAGACGUGACAUUUGAUGAGUCUAAUGGCUCGCAAGGGCAUGUUUCUAAUGACACUGCAGGAAAUGAAAAACUACCUUGUGAGGCCAUAAAGAAACUUGCCAUAGGUGAGGUGAGACCUCAAGAAAGGGAUGAUGAAGAAGGAACCUUGUGGAUGACCAAUGAGGUAGUUGAUGUGGGUGCAAGGGUGGUGAGUGACAAUGUCUCCACCCAAGCAAACCCAUCAACCUCAAGUCAUCCAAACCACGAAGAAAAUCAUCAAAGGAUGCCAACAGUGGUAGAAGAUGAACAAGAAAAUAUUGAUGGUGAAGUGCCUCUUGAUCAAGUAACUGAUGAGGAAGAGCAAAUACAAAGACAUCCAUCAGUGCCUCAUCCAAGAGUCCAUCAUUCAAUUCAAAGGGAUCAUCCGGUGGACAACAUCCUGGGUAGCAUCAGGAGAGGGGUAACGACUCGAUCACGUUUAGCUAAUUUUUGUGAAUUUUACUCGUUUGUUUCCUCUCUUGAGCCACUUAAGGUUGAAGAAGCAUUGGGUGAUCCGGAUUGGAUAACUGCGAUGCAAGAGGAGUUGAACAACUUCACUAGGAAUGAAGUCUGGUCCUUAGUCCAAAGACCCAAACAAAAUGUGAUUGGGACUAAAUGGGUCUUUAGGAACAAGCAAGAUGAAAAUGGCGUUGUUACAAGAAACAAGGCAAGGUUGGUUGCCCAAGGCUAUACUCAAGUGGAAGGACUUGACUUUGGUGAAACAUAUGCGCCGGUAGCAAGGUUAGAAUCAAUUAGAAUAUUAAUUGCCUAUGCUACUAACCAUGAUUUCAAGCUAUAUCAAAUGGAUGUCAAGAGCGCUUUUCUAAAUGGACCACUACAAGAAAGAGUAUAUGUGGAGCAACCACCGGGCUUCGAAGACCCAAAGAAGCCAAAUCAUGUUUAUCUUCUUCACAAGGCACUCUACGGGCUUAAACAAGCCCCUAGAGCUUGGUAUGAUUGUCUUAAAGAUUUUCUAAUUAAAAAUGGGUUUACAAUAGGAAAAGCUGACUCUACUUUGUUUACUCGAAAAGUUGAUAAUGAAUUAUUUGUGUGCCAAAUAUAUGUUGAUGACAUUAUAUUUGGUAGUACUAAUGAAAAAUUUUGUGAAGAGUUUAGCAAAGUAAUGACGAACAGGUUUGAGAUGUCUAUGAUGGGCGAGCUUAAAUACUUCCUGGGAUUUCAAGUCAAACAACUCAAGGAAGGUACCUUUCUAUGCCAAACUAAAUAUACUCAAGAUAUGCUCAAGAAGUUUGGCAUGGAAAAAGCAAAGCACGCCAAGACUCCAAUGUCAUCAAAUGGACAUCUCGACCUAAAUGAGGAAGGUAAACCUGUAGAUCAAAAAUUAUAUAGAUCAAUGAUAGGAUCACUGCUUUACUUAUGUGCAUCUAGGCCUGAUAUAAUGUUGAGUGUUUGUAUGUGUGCACGUUUUCAAGCAAAUCCUAAAGACUGCCAUCUUGUAGCCGUUAAGAGAAUUCUAAGAUACUUAGUCCACACCCAAAACCUAGGAUUAUGGUAUCCUAAAGGCUCCUUUUUCGAUUUGCUUGGCUAUUCUGACUCAGAUUAUGCCGGUUGCAAAGUAGAUCGAAAAAGCACUACUGGGACUUGCCAAUUCCUUGGGCGGUCCUUAGUGUCAUGGAGUUCCAAGAAACAAAAUUGUGUUGCACUCUCCACUGCAGAAGCUGAAUACAUAGCAGCUGGGGCAUGUUGUGCACAGUUGCUAUGGAUGAAGCAAACCCUUAGAGAUUUUGGUUGUGAGUUUAACAAAAUUCCUCUUUUGUGUGACAAUGAGAGUGCCAUAAAACUUGCAAACAAUCCAGUGCAACACUCUAGAACUAAACAUAUUGACAUUAGACACCAUUUCUUGAGAGACCAUGAAGCCAAAGGAGAUAUCGAACUUUUUCAUGUGAGCACCGAAAAUCAACUAGCCGAUAUCUUCACUAAACCCCUUGAUGAGACUAGGUUUUGUUUUCUUAGGAGUGAGCUAAAUAUCUUGGAUUCUCGAAACGUGACUUAAUAACUAAAAUUUUGAUCAAAUUUGAUGAUUGAAAAUUGUUUGUUUGAGCAAUAUGAAUUGAGAAAUGUCAUUUUUAUCUUUAUAAUAUCUCAUGUCAUAUUUGCUAAGUGAUAUUACAGCCCUUCCGGGCAAUAUUUGAAAUCUGGUUGAGUAAACCGGCUGAGUAGACCACUCAACCGGUUUCUUCCUGGUGGAAACCGGUUGAACCGGUAUAAAAACCGGUUGAAUCGGUUUUGGCCGUCGCGCCGUCAGUCCGCGCACAGUCUGCGCUGACAGCUGCGCAGUCUGCGCUGUCAGUUUUGCAGUCUGUGCUGUCAGACUGCCAGGUUUUGCGCGCAGUCAACACUGUUUUCUGCGCGCUUUUACUGCGCCGUUUGACCCGAAACCGGUUGAACCGGUUUUGAAACUGGUUGAACCGGUUUUCGGCUUUCUGGCGGCCGACUCCUCUCCUUUUUAUACCUCUCUCUCUUCUCUUCCUUUCUCAGUCUCGUUUCUAGCCGCCGCCGCCACUUCUGUUUUUCCUCUCUCCUCUCCAAACUCUCUCGAGCUCUCUCCCGUUUGGAAGUGUGGUUGGAGAUCCGUUCUUCCCAGCGUGUUUCCACCAUCUUCCUCCUUCUCGUUGGGAGAUCUUGACCCCCAUCUUCGGAUCGAGGUAUUGUUCUAUGUUAUUUCCUUGUACUCGAUCAUACGCGUUCUUGAUUAUCUUAUGUAUCAUUCGUUGGGUACAUUUUGGUUUAAGUGAUUGCAACACUUAGACUAUCUUCAUUUUGUCACAAACACUGUUUGAGAUUAGCGAUUUGAUAUUGUUCAUUGUAGUUGAACCGCUCAUAUGAACGGUUGAAGUGCAUGAUUCAAUCUCUUAUGCGUUUCUUCUCAAGCGUGGUUGAUCCUUGCUCAUCAUAGGUUCUAUCUCUUAUUUCUUAGAAUGGUGCGACGAAGGAACCCGUCAGUGGUAGAAUCCGACUCUUCGGAUGAACUGGAGAUCCAUGGUGAUACCCCUCCUCGCUCUCGAUCCAAGCGAGGGCGCGGAUGUGGAAAUGUCAUGCCGGGUACUGAGGCCUCCGGGUCUCAAAGUGCUCGGGGUCGGACUUCCCGGACUCCCUCCGGUAGGUCUCGACCUGCCACGAAUCCGCAGGCGUGGGAGCCUGCAAGUGACGAUGACGGUGGGAAGGACGAUGAGGUUGAUCUUCCCCCGGCGUCGGCUCCUGUGAUUCGCGGCUUGGUGCUCCACCGGGCCGAGGCUCGGCGUGCUGGCAAUGAGCCAGUCACGGACUUCACGGCCAGUGGAGGGUCUGCACUUCUCCAGGAUCUGCGUUUCCAAAAUCCGGUAUUGCGUAUUCGCGAUGCCAGGAUCGAUGGAAAUCGUUUCUGGACUCUUCACCAUGUUGAUUUCUAUAAUUCAGUUAUUCUUCCCAAGAAGCAUCAGCCCAUCCUUCAUCAACGUUAUAUUAACUGGGAAGGUUGCGAAGCAAUUGGAGACCCAGAGAUGUCACAGGCACUGAGGGCCUGUGAAAGGAAGCAAAUGAAGAACAUCAUGACAUUCCAUUAUGAUUGGAAUGAUGAAGUGAUUGCACAAUUUUAUUCCACUCUCUGGAUAAAGCUGGCUGAUGAGGAGAGCCAUUACAACUACCCCUAUCUAAACUUCUUCAUUGAAGGUAGUUGGUACAAGGUGAGCUAUCGUCGAUUUGCUCACAUUCUUGGUUUUUCUGACGAGGAUAUAUCUGGAGACAGGAUCAAGAUUCAUGAUUUCCGUCAGCCCACAAGAGAUGAGGCCAAGGACCUUCAUUUGUCUGAGUCUGGCAAGUAUUGGGAGUCAACCAACAUUCAUAAGUAUUAUCGCUAUAUCAACUCCCUCUGCAGGAUGACCCUCAUUCCAAAAGGGGGAAAUCAGAUGAACAUCCUUGGGGAGAGCAAGGUCUUGCUCUCUUUUAUGAAACCAAACAGCUCAGAAAGGAUUAAUGUCUUUGACAUGAUAUGGCAGGAAAUUAUUCAUGCAGCCUGCUUUCCUUUGAAGGGGUGUCUUCAUGCCCCAUUCAUUAUGAAGAUGAUUGAGGUCGUGACCCAAUUCAGAUUUGAGAAAGGCACUCGACAUCAGUCAUACACUCCCUUCUGGAUUGAUCCCAACAAUCCAGCCGGGCGUCUCAGGAAAGCUCCCUCCAGUUCUCGUGGUCCUACAUCUGCUGGUCCGUCUGCCGGUGCUGGUGCUGCUGCUGCUGCUGGUGCCUCGCGCCCUUCCCCUGGCCGCGGAUCUCCCACACCACGUGGUCGUGGUCGUGGUCGAGGUCGUGGACGUGGGAUGGGUGCCUGCCUGGCCCACGGAUUUGCGUCCUUCUUCUCCAUGUGCCGAAAUAUUGCUGCAGAUGUCCAUGAGGUGGCUCGACGUCAGCGGGAGACCGACGACAACCUUCGUCGUCAAGCUUCUGCUUUGGGUACUCCCUUCGCCCCUCGCUCUCCUGAUGUACCUCUUCACCCUCCUCCUCCAGAUGUGAAUGAGUGGUACCAGCAGGCGUAUGGGGUACCUUUCUCUUCAGCCGAUGACGUCGAAGAAGAAACCUAUUUUGAUGAUCCGGAGCAGUUUGACCCUCCCCCAUAUCGCGGGGAUCCGGGUCAAUCGUCCUCUUACCCUCCGCCCCAGGACCCGUCUGGCAGUGCUCCUCCUCCGGCCCAGUCUGGAGAGGAACACUUUGCCUACGACCUGGCGCAACACCUCUUUGCUCCUCAUCAACCUCCUCCCCACUGGUGAUUCGUGGCUUGACGCGUCUCUCUCUCUCUCUUUUUGGUUCUUGGUGCCAAAAAGGGGGAGAACGUUUACUAUUCAGUACUUUAUUUUUGUAAUGAACACUUGGUCUGUAAUAACUACUAUUUGCUGCAUGCAUGGCUUGGAAGCCAUAAACACUUGAUGAUGUGUUGAGACGAGCUCUCACUAUUGUAAUAGCUGUAGACCUUUUUCAUAUCAUAUGCUAUGCGAUGAUGAGCUUGAAUGUGCUUUUACUCUUUAUAUUCAAUUAUGUUUCAUAUCUCAUCAUUUUUUUGUAUGGUGUUGAUUGUUCUCUCUCUAAAUAUGUUGCAAAUUGACAUAUCAAGUCAAUGUGAAUAUCGCAAAACUCAUGCACAUAUUUAGGGGGAGCUACAUAUACACAAAAGACUUUUAUCACAAGUAUGUGUAACUUUUAAUUAUUAUUUCCAUUCUAGUUUGUUUUGGCAUCAAUCACCAAAAAGGGGGAGAUUGUAAGUGCAAUCAACCCUAAUUGAGGGUUUUGGUGAUUAAUGACAAAACAAACUAAGAUUCUAACAAGUUUGCUCCUAGUGUGUACACAGUAUUUUUACAGACAGGAGAAGCACAGAUCCUACGAGCAUAAAAGUAUAAAGCACAGCGGAUUUAAAUUUCCACAUCAAAUGGCGUGCUCCAAGUGCUAUGAAACGUCGGCGGUACUAAGUUUAAAAUUCUUGAAUCAUAGGAAUCGCCGUACAAUUAAGAGGGAUCCGCGACGGUUAAGUAAGUUGUGAAACGAGCCAAGUUCAAUUCUUUUGAAAACUCCUUUGAGAUCAUCUUUUCCAGAUCAUGAAUGCUCUUGAGAAAAACAAAUUUCACUUCCCACAAAGUCUCCACCUAAGUUCUCUUCAAAAUUCUCAAAGUUUGGUUUCAGCCCCCAAAACCGGUUCAACCGGUCCAGAAACCGGUUCAACCGGUUUUGGUACUGUUCAUCCUGCCACCUCUGCUCUGACCUGUCUGACAGUCAGAGCUGUCAGAAAAGUCGCAGCAGAUAUUUUUCUGAAACCGGUUGAGCCGAAAUUUGACCCUACUCAGCCGGUUUUGAAACCGGUCCAGUGUCCGGCUGAGUAGACCAGUGGACCGGGAUCCCCCUGGUAGAAACCGGUUCAACCGGUUUGAAAACCGGUUCAACCGGUUUUUUGCCCUUUUCCUCCCAACGGCUGCCAGCUUUUGGGGGAUCCUUUAUAUACCCCCUCACACUCUCUCUCAUCAACUUCUGUCUCUACCACGAAUCUUUGGCUGACCAACCCUCAAACAAGAGCAUUCACUUCACCUCUCACACCCGCAAUCGCAUCUCCUUCAAUCAUUUGAAGGACCCUUGGUGUGAGGUGAACUCGAUCGAACUCGCUGUCAAUUUCAUCUCGAUUCUCCCAUUCUCUUGUUCUUGAGCUCGUUGCAAACUUAACCGUGUGCGGAUUUGUUACUCUUGGAACCUCGUGUUCCUUGACGGUUAGAGGUUGCUUGGGAGUCUCCAAAUUUGUGGACGACCCCAAGAAGUUUGUAUCACCCGCUCCUUGAGCAGAUUUGAGAAGAGAUUGCCUUGACCUUUGUGGUCGGCUUGUGGAGGAUUAGGGUUGGAAAAGACCCGGCCCUUUGUGGGUUCCUCAACGAGGAGUAGGACACCUUUGUGGUGGUUGCCGAACCUCGGGUUAUAUCGCGUGUUCUUGUGUGUUCUUGUUAAGCUUUUCAUAUUCGGUGGUUGGUUCAUAUUAUUCAUUCAAGUAGUUCUUGUGUAGGGCAAAUCUUUAGCUAUUUUCUUUACUACUUCGAAUUUGUUCAAUAGAUUAUUAAAUUCAAGUUGAGUGGGUUCAAACUUGUUCAGUUGUGAUUAAAAUCGACUGAACCGGUUUGCACCUGUGCAACUUUAAUUUAACCUAUUUCGAAGUUUUUAGUGAAAAUUUUCAGGUAUAGCCUAUUCACCCCCCCUCUAGGCUACUUUCACAAGGGACGCGACCUCAUCCGAGCCCAGCCUCGGGCAAGGGCAGUAGUCUCGGACGGAUUCACGCCUCGCCCGAGGGCCUCCUCAGGCAGUGGGCGCACCCUCGGCUCGCCCGAAGCCCAGCUCGGGCAGACUUUGUCGUGCAGCGACCUCGCCCAAAUCGCCUUACCAACCGACCAUAUCGCAGGCGCAUUUAAUGUGGGGAUCGCCUGACACCUUAUCCUGACACGCGCGCCUCAGUCGGCAAGGUCGAAAUGACUGCAGUCUCUUCGCCCCUUUACCGACCGUUCUGACAAGCAAACAGCACUGUUCGCCUCGCUCCGGCUACUGUGCCAACCACCAGGGCCAGACUAACGACAGCAGGUCUCGACCUCCCCUGAGUUCAGCCUCGGGCACGACAGGGAGCUCCGCCUCGCCCGACCCCAGGCCUCGACCUCAGCCCUGGCCUCGGGGAAGGUCUCCGCCUCGCUUGACCCCAGGCCUUGGCCUCGGGGGAAGGUCCUCGUCUCGCCCGACCUCGGGCCUCAGCCUCAGCCUCGGCCUCGGGAGGAGUCACAUCCUCGCCCGACCUCAACCUCGGCCUCAGGAGAAGUCUCCGCCUCGCCCGACCUCGGCCUCGGACCGACUACGCUACAGGGGAUACAUCAUUACCCUACUCCUAGCUAGCUGCCUUAGGCUACGAAGGAACAAGACCGGUGUCCCAUCUAAGGUUACUCCGGUAACAGGUAAUGAUGGUUCCCCGCGUGCGCCCAUGACGUCGGAUUGCUCCCAACCUCCUACAGAAGCAAGGGAACGUCAGCAGCAUCCAUGCCGCACCGCCAGCUAUGCUUCUACAGGGCUCAAGGCACUUCUCCGACAGCCACGUUAGUACCUGUACACGGCUCCAGGCAAUUCUCCGCCAGCCACGUUAGCUCAUAGCUACACCUCCAUUGUACAGCUGGGCAUCUCCUUGUAUCUAUAAAAGGGGAUGUCCAGGGCCUUUCUAAGGCAAGACGCACGGGGACAACAUGCACGCAACAGCGGAGACAUAACACAGACAGACGAACCCACAACGCGGAUGAGCAGAGGCAGGCAGAGUAGGAGAGACACGGUAGAGGCAAACUCAGACAGCUCACCUCAAGGCCGAACUCUCUCCCUCUCUCUCUCGCUCUCUCGCGACGCUUGUAACCCCUACUACGAGCACCCCGGUGCAAUAUAACAUAAGCCUUAUUCCCCUCUUGUGUUCCAUCUUGCAUCAACCCAUCUGGGCAGGGACACGCAGCAACAAAUUCACUAGUCGGUUGACGGUCCUCGCGGGUCCAAAACACCGACAGUUGGCGCGCCAGGUAGGGGCCUGUUGCGUGUUGACAAACACUUUCCCGUUGAGUUCCAGAUGGGUAGCCUUCAGCAGCCUCUUCGGCCCGGGACGGUGCUCCGCUUUGGGAGUCUUCAUGUCCCGCGACGGCAACUACGACAUGGUACUCCUCCCCUCGCAACGCGACAGCAACGACGAUCGUCGGCUCGCCCGGCGGAGGCGAACUCGACGACGACAUCUCCCCACGGUAGAAGAGGAACACUCGGGUUUGCCCCGCCACCCUCCUCGCCAGAGGAGGAGGAGACGGGGCAACCGUGGCCAGGCAGGAGGCGGCACCUCAUCGGUUGUCGAACCAGAGCGAGUCGACGACGUCGGCACCCCUGUGGGGGACAUGUCGGAUGUUGUCCUCGCACUUGAGACAACGACGGGUGUCGCUUCCCCGCAACGUGCCAACCCCAAGCGGACUGAUGACGCCAGCACCCUCACGAAGGACUUGUUGGGCGUUAGCCUAGUACCUGAGAUAAUGCUGUAGUCCGUCCCCGACGCGACUUCACCACCGUCCAUCGCCCAAAAGGUACUAUCCGUUUUCCACCCUGUCCCUUUUGGAUUCAGCUUCGAUCCACCAGGCGACCCCGCUUCGGUGAGCGCUUUCGCAAGGGCAUAUCCUAACCCUCUAGGGUACCAUAUGUGGUCAACCUGGGACCGACUGACGGCCGUCUCAACCUCUGGACUCGCGGGUUCCGAGGAAGAGGACGGUCCCGACUUCGGUUGGUGUAACAUCCCAAAAUCCCAACCCAGGUUUGAAACCCUAACCCCCCUAAUCCCCCCUCCUUCAUUUUAUUCUUCUCCCUUAACCCUACCUCUAGGUCACCCCAUCAUUUGCAUGCACUUAAAAUGACUUGAAGCACCUCACAUAGACCCUAUUUAUCACCAAGUUCAUUUAGAGAAAUUUUGAUAAGAGAAAAAGAAACAAAGGUAGAAAAGAAAAAGGAAUGGAAUAAGAAAAGGAAAAAGGAAAAAUCCUCUCCCCUCCCUCGGCUGGGCCGAAUCUCAGCCCAGCUCGCGCGCGCGCUCCCCCCCACUCUCUUCCGGCCCAGGCGACCCAACCCGCGCGCCGCUCCCACCCCUGACCACUGGGCCCCGCCUGUCAGCACCUCACCUCUCUCUCUCUCGCGCGUACCUCUCUCGCGGACAGCCCGACCCCACCCGUCAGCUCCUUCUCCCUCGCCCAUCCCUCACCUGCGCGAUCGCCGCCGAGCGCCCCUCGCCUUGUCGCCUCGCCAUUAAUGCCCGCCAGCCCCCGCGACAAACUCCGCCACUGUGCUUGAGCUGACCACUCACCCCCGGCCUGCCCGAGCCGUCCCAAUCGGCGUUAGCGCCAUUCCCGUACCCAUGGCGAGCUCGCCGGUGCUCGCCGUCUCCCCCAUCCCCUUCCCUCCCCCGAGCGCCUAUAAAAGGGCCCGCUCGAGCACCGUCUUCGCCACACAACACCAGCCACCCUCACUGCCCUCCUCCCCGAGCCGUUCAAGCGAGCGCCGCCGUGCCCCCUGCCUUGCUCCGGUGAGCUCCUUUUCCCCCUCUAGCAUCUCUCUGUUCAAUUAAGCUAUGGCCAAAGCUCCGCCACACACUCGCGAUCACUCGACACCACUUUGCCCCCCUGUCACGGCCGGAAACCUCACCGGCGGCUUCGCCGCCGCGGGCGCCCGCCACUGCGCCGUGGACCGGCCGCCAUAGGCCCCCGCAGGCCAAAUUCGCCCCACCAUCGUGACCCACUCCAACCGCCCGUGCUUCGCCACCCCUUCCCCGCCAGAGGACCGGACCGACGGCGGAGAACCGCCGCGGAGCUCGCCGCCGACCGGCCCGGUCGAGCCCCCCCUUCCCCUCCGUUACCAGUAGCGCCGUCAGCCCCCCCCUCUCCCUGGCUGGUGGGCCCGCGCUACGGCGCCGUCCCCACCGCCGUCCCCUCGCUGCUGGGCCGUUUGGGCCGCAAAGCGCGCCCGCGCCCGCACGCCUUGUGGGCCAAAAUCCCCCCCGGCCCGGUUGAGUGGAGAAUCCCUUUUCUUUUUCUUUCUCCUAUUUUCCUUUCCCAUUUUCAUAUAUAUAUUUAGAUACUAAUAUUUUAUGCACCAAAAAUUGUCUAAAUGAAUUAUUAGGGCACAAAAAUAAUAAAGUAUAAUAACUUGCACACCCCACAAAGGUCACUAUGUUUGAUGUAUUGUUAUUGUCUUGUUUAAUUAGCGGAAGAGGGAUCCGAUCCUCCGGAACUCUUAGCUCCGGAAGAAGGGCAGGAACCCGACCCCUCCGAGAUUAACCUUUUGUGCCAGGAAAGCUUCAACGAAGGCAAGUCCAUCCUUCCCUUGAUGCAUUAUUUACCUAUUUCUCUCUACCACUGCCUAAGCCUGGAUUAUGGGAUGGGAAUCGAAUUGCAUGGUAAGCAUGAGAGAGCCCGCAUUAACUAUUACUUCCGUUAAAAGAUAUGGGACAAGUAAAAAGGGGUAUAAGUGAAAUGUUUUCCAAAAGAGUGCGAUGAAGGGUACUCACCCUCAUCACCUGGUGAAGUAGGAUGAUCAGGGACUCCCUGGUUUAGGGGAGGGCCUAAGGUGUUGGCUCUGCUGGUUUAGGCGUGAGCAGAAGGAUCGUCCUCUCAUAUAAGGACUGGUUUGUCAUCUUUCAUUACAUGUACUCUCAAAAAGUACAACCCCUCGAGGCUGUGUGGGCAGCCACUCAAUCUGAACUCGUACGGUCCCACCCCAGGGUUAUGAAGGCUGGGGUAGCACCGGGAGCAUAAGGAAGGGGAAUGUUUUGUCCGGUUUGGACAUGGUGGUGGCCUGACUCCUUCCGGUAUAACCGUUAAGGUUCGGACGUACAAGGAAGGAAAGAGUUUCGGAUUCGGGUCUCAUUGGCCAUGAGAUCGCAGAGCCGGACUAGUGGGUAAAGUGUACCCCUCUGCGCAGAGUCUAAACCUAUUCGAAUAGUCCGUGUCCACUGGUAUGGACGAGUCUGGUAUGGUAUGACAAUUAGUGUUUCUACUACAACUGGGAACAGGGAAAUGCGUGUGUAUGUUCUAGAAAGAAAAUGGUACCACGAGAGCGGGAAGCUCAGUGGUAGUCAAGCAAGUGUUACUUCUUUUGUCUUGGGGAGAACCCUAAACAUUGAGUACCGCCUUUCUAUGAAAAAGUAUGAGUGACUUCAACUCCACCAUAUGAAGCAUGUACAAUAUAGAUCACUAUCUCUUUACGGGAGCCGGGUGGGCUUGCGGAAUACCUAGUGUAUUCACCCAGAUUUAUUUAUGUUUUUCAGCAGCUGAAGACUUCUUUUCUGCUAUGCUUGAUUGAUGGGGCUGUGUCUUCACCCAGUUCUGCCUGUGGCCUGGGCUAUUUUUAUCUUCCACUGCGCAUUAUGUUUUUCGGCUCACCUUCGAGCUUGUAUCCCCGGUAUUGUAAUAACAUUAUUCAGACUCUGUAACUAUUUGAAGUAAUGAAUGUGGUUACUAGCCUCCUGGGACUAGUAAUUAUAUCACAUUUGAGUCCCAAAGGAUCGGGACGCUUCAGGUGGUAUCAGAACCUAUAGGACUGGCCGUAGACCACAACCCUGACCUUAAAAGUUGCCUUAACAAGAAAACACCUCUUACCUCCAAGAAACACUCUUUCCCCUUUUCCCCGAUAUUAAUAGACCUUUCUUUUCGUCUACCAGAUGGAAAACCCCUGGGUGAUUAGGACUUCCUAUUGCUCAGAGGAGGAAGGCUUUCCUCACCUUCUUCGAAGCUGCGCACUGCGCUUGGGGAUCCGCAAGAAGCCCGAAUAUGUCUGGAAAGAGUACCGUGAGAAUGGAAUGGAAAAGUGCUCUAUGGCGGUCUACUUGGGAGAAAGCCGGAACUACCCAAACCACCCUCCUUUCCAAAUUACCUUCAUCGGGCACCGCUUCCCAGACACAUGCCAGAGCGUUGCUCGAAAAGCCCUCAAACAACUGUGCCAAAACUAUAGCCGAGAGAUCUUUGAGACUCCCCUCCGAUAUUUUCCACCCAGCAACAAAAACACCCCAACCUGGAAGAAAAGACUCCAGGCUCUGUCAGGAGGAGAUCCCAUAGAAGAUGAUCCCACUAUCGUCUACAUGGCCGGAUACCUCCACACCCUCGACAACCACUACGAUGAGCUCUCCUCCCAUUGUACCCACCUAAACCCCCGAGUGGAAAGCCUAGAGCAGCAAGUCAAAGAGCUUACGCAAGAGAAGGCAUCUCUCCAGGAGAGUCUCAGCAUAGUGGAAGGCGAGGAAGCCAACACCCAGGAGGCCUAUCGGACCUUGAAGAUAGACUUUGACAAGAAGCUAAAGGCACUCGCCCCCAAAAAGAAGAUCCAGAAGAAGACCACUAACCAAGGAUGCCAGACAGAAAAGAAGAAGAAGAAGGCCCCUCUAGCCCUACCUCCCCCUAGAAUCGAUGACUGGUCCGACGAAGAAGAUGUAUCCCUAGCCAGCCUCGAUGAUCUUCUCAAGGCAUUUGGGGACACCUUAGACAAGGAACUCGCUAGCACCUCGAAGAAUGCUCUCGUGUAUUCUUCCCCUGUAGUAGUCUUAUGCUUGUAAUGUGAUGGUGUAAUGAAUAAGAUAACUUGGUUGAGAACAAUUUGCAUGUGCAUGAUAGUGACUCUCUUCCCUGGCAGAUGGCUUCGGAUAAAACCACGCCUACCGCCUCAGGGAUUGGAGCAGGUUUCCCCCGAAGAGCUGAAGGGGAAGUCGUUAGAGAGGAAAGUGAAACCCACCUCCCCGCACCUCCACCCCUACCCUUAGACCUAGCCCAAGUUCUAGCCAAUCAGACCCGACUCAUUGAGGUCCUCACUCGAAAUCUGGAAAAUCAACGGCCGAAUGGUGGAAGACCGCAAGACAAAAUGGGGGACUUCCCGAGACUCAAACCUCCCACGUUCGCCGGAUCAAGCAACCCCCUCGAUGCAGACGAUUGGAUGCGCACGAUCAAAAGGAAGCUGGAAGCCAUUGGUUGCCCAGAAAAUCAGCGUGUUCAACUGGCUGCCCACCAACUCUCUGGGAUGGCCUUAGCCUGGUGGGACACCUUCAACGUCACCAUCAGAGAUGCUACCUGGGCGGAAUUUGAAGCAGCUUUCCGGGAGCACCAUGUGCCCCAAGGAUUGGUACAGCUUAAGGAGGACGAGUUCCGAGAAUUGACUCAAGACGGAAGAUCUGUCAGCGAAUAUGUGCACAAGUUCACGGAGUUAGCCCGCUACGCGCCAGAUGAUGUCAAUACUGAGAGCAAGAAGAUGGCCCGUUCCUUAAGGGACUCAGGCCAGAACUCAAGACAAUUCUGGCUAGCCAAGACUUCCUCAACUUCUCUCACCUUUCCAACAAGGCCAUGCAAGUUGAAAGAGCUAAGGAGGAAGAAAAAGGACAUCUCAAAAGGAAGUUCCAGGUUCUCCAGGCACAACAGCAGGACCGGCACCAGAAGACUCGAUCAUUUGGGUUUCCACCCAAGGGGCCCAACUUCAGUAGACCGGCUGGACCCACCCCGUCACGAUUCAGCCAGUAGAGUCAGAGCUCUUUCCAUUCUCCCUCAGUGGCAAGCAACCAACCUCCGGCAAAUGCAUGUUGGCACUGCGGUGAUCCAAGUCACUUCAAGAACAACUGUCCGCAGCUGAAGCCACAGGGACCCGCCUACUCCAACUCGGUGAAUGGCCCCAAGAAUACCUCGACACCCGCCCCCAAGGCGCCCUCCGCCAUCAGCCAGCAGAACAAGACUCCGUACCAAGGAAGGGCACGUGUAAAUCACGUCGAUGCCCAAGAAGCUCAGCAGGCUCCGGGAGUAGUACUCGGUGAGUUCCUUGUUGAAUUUACUCCAGCUACCGUACUUUUCGAUUCUGGAGCAUCCCACUCUUUCAUAGCCACUAGCUUUGUGGAAAAAUAUGGCAUUCCCUCUACUCCCCUAGAGAUUCCUUUGGUCACCCGAACCCCAGGGUCCGACCUCCUAUGCCAGCUAAAAUGUUCCCAAGUCAGAAUCCUUUUAAGUGGGGUAGUAUUCCUGGCAGACUUAACCGUCUUGCCAUCCAAGGGAAUUGAUGUAAUCCUAGGGAUGGAUUGGCUAACUAAACACAAAGGCAUCAUCAGUUGCGCAGACAAGACAGUCCUCCUCACCGACCAGCAGGGAAAGUCAGUCUCUUGCCAGGCACAGCCACCCGCCAGUGACCCAAUGAUGUUCAAUAUAACAACGGAAAGUAUAUCAAUAGUGGAAGAAUUCAUGGACGUAUUUCCAGAAGAGUUACCAGGAAUGCCACCAGAAAGAGAAGUGGAGUUUUACAUAGAUCUGAUUCCUGGAACAGCACCCAUCGCAAAGAGACCAUACCGCAUGGCUCCAACCGAGUUAGCAGAACUGAAGCUUCAAAUCUCAGAUCUUCAGCAAAAGGGGUACAUUCGUCCCAGCUCAUCACCUUGGGGAGCACCAGUCCUGUUUGUCUCCAAGAAGGAUGGAAGCAUGAGAAUGUGUAUUGAUUACCGAUUGUUAAAUGAGGUUACCAUCAAGAACAAGUACCCACUUCCUCGGAUUGACGACCUCUUCGAUCAGCUUCAAGGAGCCAAGUACUUCUCCAAGAUAGACCUGAGGUCUGGUUACCACCAAUUAAGGAUCAAGGAAGCGGACAUCCAAAAGACUGCAUUUGUCACCCGGUACGGGCAAUAUGAAUUCACAGUAAUGCUGUUCGGACUGACAAAUGCACCCGCCUUUUUCAUGAACCUCAUGAAUAAAGUGUUUAUGGAAGAGCUAGAUAAGUUUGUCGUAGUCUUCAUCGACGACAUCCUUAUUUACUCCAAGAACCGCGAAGACCAUAAGCGUCACCUUCGGAUCGUCCUUGGAAAACUCAGAGCACACCAACUUUAUGCCAAACUCAGUAAAUGUGAAUUCUGGUUGGAAAAGAUAGCCUUCCUUGGGCAUAUCUUAACCACAGAAGGGAUAGAAGUGGACCCUUCCAAAGUAGAAGCAGUGUCAAAAUGGAGGCAACCAACCAACGUCAGUGAAGUUCGAAGCUUCCUAGGAAUGGCAGGGUAUUACCGCCGCUUCAUCAAAGGAUUCUCCAGCAUAGCAAGACCAAUGACAGAACUUCUCAAGAAAGACCACAAAUUUGUGUGGACCCCAAAAUGUGAAGGAAGUUUCCAAAUCAUAAAGGAGAAACUUACAACGGCACCCGUUCUAUCAUUGCCAGAUAUUCAUCAAGAUUUUGUCGUCUUCUGUGAUGCCUCAAGGCAAGGCUUAGGGUGUGUGCUAAUGCAGAACGAGAAAGUCAUUGCUUACGCAUCACGCCUACUCAAGCCGCACGAGCAGAAUUACCCCACCCAUGAUUUGGAAUUGGCAGCCAUAGUGCAUGCCUUAAAGAUAUGGAGGCAUUACCUAGUCGGAAACAAAUGCCAUAUUUUCACCGAUCACAAGAGUCUGAGGUACAUAUUCACUCAACCUGAUCUCAACCUCCGUCAGCGAAGAUGGUUAGAGCUGAUCAAGGAUUAUGACCUCGAAAUUCACUAUCACCCCGGGAAGGCCAAUGUGGUGGCCGACGCUCUCAGUCGAAAACCAUUCGGAAUAAAAGGGACCAACUUUCUAGAAGACUGGAAGGAAGAAUCAACACAACUAAAUGCAUGCCUGGGAAACAACGACAGUCUCGAAGUCAAGCCAAUGCUAGAAGACCUCAUCUGCAAAGCUCAACAUCUAGACCCAGAGACGGCAAGGCUUGUGGAGAAAGCCCGCAAGGAACAACUCCCGGACCUCAGGACAGAUAACCAAGGAGUCCUUUGGUUCAAACACCGUCUGUGUGUACCAAAAGGGGAGGCCCGAUAAGCCCUACUCAAGGAAGCUCACGACUCGGCCUACUCCAUCCACCCCGGAACUACCAAGAUGUACCUGGACCUCAAGACCAGAUACUGGUGGAAGGGGAUGAAGAAAGAAAUAGCUCAGUAUGUGGCCCGAUGUGACAUCUGCCAACGAACAAAAGCCGAACACCAAAAACCCGCUGGCCUAUUACAACCCCUCCCGAUAACUGAAUGGAAGUGGGAAGAAAUAGGCAUGGAUUUCGUAACCGGACUACCCCGGACGCAAAAAGGGAAUGAUUCCAUCUGGGUAAUAAUAGACCGCCUCACCAAGGUAGCCCAUUUCAUUCCAGUGAAAACUACCUUUGGAGGAGCCACCCUUGCCCGGAUCUACCUCAAAGAGAUAGUCAGACUCCACGGCAUCCCAAGGAAGAUAGUGUUAGACAGAGGAACCCAGUUCACAUCCAAAUUCUGGACAGGCCUGCAGAAAGCUAUGGGCACCAAGCUAGAUUUCAGCACCGCGUACCACCCUCAAACAGAUGGGCAGACAGAAAGGGUCAACAAAGUCCUUGAAGAUCUGUUAAGAGCAUGUGUUUUAGCUUUUGAUAGAAGUUGGGAGUCCAGUCUACCCUACGCAAAGUUCUCCUACAACAAUAGCUAUCAGUCCAGCAUCAAGAUGUCACCAUUCGAAGCACUGUAUGGACGAAAAUGCCAGACCCCUCUCAUGUGGUCCAACGUGGGGGAAAAAGCACUAGAAGGACCUGCCUUUGUCAAGGAGGCAGAGGAGAAAGUUGCACUAAUCCGCAGAAGGUUGCUUGAAGCUCAGAGUCGACAGAAGAGUUACGCAGACAACAGGCGGAGGGAACUCCGAUUUGAGGAAGGAGACUUCGUCUACCUUAAGGUUUCUCCAAUGCGUGGUGUCAGGAGGUUCCAAGUCGAAGGGAAGCUAGCCCCACGUUUUGUAGGUCCCUAUCCCAUUAUUGGCAAGGUAGGACCCGCAGCAUACCGCCUGGAACUACCAGAAUCCAUGUCCGACAUCCACAAUGUGUUCCACGUAUCCCAGCUCCGCAAAUGCCUGCAAGCACCAGAAAGUCACCUCGAAGAAGAGACAGUGCAGAUUCAGAAGGGUCUUCAAUAUCGUGAGAAACCAGUGAAGAUUCUUGAUUCAGCAGUCAGAAAGACCCGCACCUCAGAAGUAAAGCUCUGUAAAGUUCAGUGGAGCAGAGAAGGAGAAGAGGAAGCCACCUGGGAGAGUGAGGACUUCUUGAGGAGGGAAUACCCUUAUCUAUUCCCAAAUCCAGUCUAAUCUCGAGGGCGAGAUUCCUUUAAGUGGGGUAGGUUUGUAACAUCCCAAAAUCCCAACCCACGUUUGAAACCCUAACCCCCCUAAUCCCCCCCUCCUUCAUUUUAUUCUUCUCCCUUAACCCUACCUCUAGGUCACCCCAUCAUUUGCAUGCACUUAAAAUGACUUCAAGCACCUCACAUAAACCCUAUUUAUCACCAAGUUCAUUUAGAGAAAUUUUGAUAAGAGAAAAAUAAACAAAGGUAGAAAAGAAAAGAAAAAGGAAUGGAAUAAGAAAAGGAAAAAGGAAAAAUCCUCUCCCCUCCCUCGGCUGGGCCGAAUCUCAGCCCAACUCGCGCGCGCUCCCCCCCCACUCUCUUCCGGCCCAGGCAGCCCAACCCGCGCGCCGCUCCCACCCCUGACCACUGGGCCCCUCCUGUCAGCACCUCACCUCUCUCUCUCUCGCGCACGUACCUCUCUCGCGGACAGCCCGACCCCACCCGUCAGCUCCUUCUCCCUCGCCCAUCCCUCACCGGCGCGAUCGCCGCCGAGCGCCCCUCGCCUCGUCGCCUCGCCAUUAAUGCCCGCCAGCCCCCGCGACAAACUCCGCCACUGUGCUUGAGCCGACCACUCACCCCCGGCCUGCCCGAGCCGUCCCAAUCGGCGUUAGCGCCAUUCUCGUACCCAUGGCGAGCUCGCCGGUGCUCGCCGUCUCCCCCACCCCCCUCCCUCCCCCGAGCGCCUAUAAAAGGGCCCGCUCGAGCACCGUCUUCGCCACACAACACCAGCCACCCUCACUGCCCUCCUCCCCGAGCCGUUCAAGCGAGCGCCGCCGUGCCCCCUGCCUUGCUCCGGUGAGCUCCUUUUCCCCCUCUAGCAUCUCUCUGUUCAAUUAAGCUAUGGCCAAAGCUCCGCCACACACUCACGAUCACUCGACACCACUUUGCCCCCCCUGUCACGGCCGGAAACCUCACCGGCGGCUUCGCCGCCGCGGGCGCCCGCCACUGCGCCGUGGACCGGCCGCCAUAGGCCCCCGCAGGCCAAAUUCGCCCCACCAUCGUGACCCACUCCAACCGCCCGUGCUUCGCCACCCCUUCCCCGCCAGAGGACCGGACCGACGGCGGAGAACCGCCGCGGAGCUCGCCGCCGACCGGCCCGGUCGAGCCCCCCCUUCCCCUUCGUUACCAGUAGCGCCGUUAGCCCCCCCUCUCUCCC
RNAcentral lists this long non-coding RNA (78202 nucleotides) under Zea mays. RNAcentral's name for it is "long non-coding RNA (ZMAY_LNC005532)". Lineage: Eukaryota; Viridiplantae; Streptophyta; Magnoliopsida; Poales; Poaceae. The record is from RNAcentral.